Molecule: long non-coding RNA, 78612 nt
Filed under: Chlamydomonas reinhardtii
Lineage: Eukaryota; Viridiplantae; Chlorophyta; Chlorophyceae; Chlamydomonadales; Chlamydomonadaceae
Description: long non-coding RNA (CREI_LNC000002)
Source: RNAcentral
CCCCGGAAAAAUUUUGGGGGUGAAUGACCUUGUAACAGUGUGUGCUGCUAUUUGUCUUUGCGAACGGUGCGUGGUAGGCGCGUGGUGACCGCAGUCGGGUAGUCCCGGGUUUGGGGUGUGUGUGCACGGGCGGCUGUUGCCCGGGCGCCCGGGCGACUGUUGGCUCUUCUCGUCUCCGAGUGCCGCUGGGGCUUGUGUGGAGGGUCGGCCUGGGUCGUUGGUUGGACGGAUGGUGGGUGGUGCGCCCUUUGCGAGGGGCUGUGGUGUGCUGUGGCUUGGUGGUGUUUCGGCUUGGCUUCCGGUUCCAGUUGUGCCUCGGCACAGACUAUCAGACAUGGGCCUUCGGGCCAAGACAUUGCGCGUCUCUGACGCCAGCCAUCGUCUUCGGACGUGAUAUUUGUGUGGUGCUUGCGUUUGAUGGGGCUGUCGGCAGACCACUGGCCUGUCGUGCCUUGUUUUGCGUUGGCCCUGCCGCCAAAAGACCUAAACGAGAUGAGGGGUGUUACGUGGCGGUGGGGCUUUGGCGGGCUUCGGCUUGGCUUCGACUCAUGCGCGUAACGCUAUGAAGGUCGGCAGUCAGCCAGGGGGUGGGUGUUUCUCUCUGGGCCGGAGACGGUCCCUCGCGGCGUGGGUACGGUGUACCCCCGCUUGUCGGACUGUCCCUUCAAUUGUAAUUCGCAUCCUUAAAGGCGGCCCCUGUACGGGGGCCCGAAGCGGCGGCAGCCUGUUUCGUCAACUAAACGAAGCCAUUUUAAGGAAUUCGGCCACUGACGCCGCUCCUGCCUUCGUAAGAUACGAGCGCUGUCCGCACCCCCCACCCUGGCGCGCGGAGCGCGCCCGCGAAAAUUCAAUUUUCGUGCUGUUGAUAUUUAUUUUCGGGAAGCCAGGGCCAUUAAUAACUAUUAAAUAGGUUCGGGAAACAGAUUCGGGGCCUCUCCCGUAGUUUCCCGAAACCUUUUGUAACACUACGGUAACAUGCUGAAUAGCUUUCCUGCCUGUCGCCUUAGGCCUUAGCCCACGACUAGUCGUCAGCAGUCAGCAUGGCAUUCGCGCGCCAACACAGCUUUCAUCAUCAACAGCAAGCUGCACACACUAGGUCGUGACAGCCACUGGCGCCCGCACCUGUCCCACCAGCGCCCGCCUCACCGGCUCAGCCCACGCCCUCGCUCUCGCUCUCUACAGCACACGCGUGUCCAAGGCACCAAUGACGUACAAUACGUUAAUGCGGCACGAUCGCUGGCAUACGGCUGGCAUCAGCAACAACACGCAGAUUCGACCUCUGCCCAGCUGCUGCAACAUGAAUCAGCAGUCAUUGUGAGUAGUCGCAGGGAUGAAUCAGGAAAUGAGCAGAUCCCUGGGCCGUUGUAACACCGACUGACCAGCUCCUGCCACACUCCCCACGCCCUUACUUGGCCUGUCAGCUGCACACUAACCACACACAGACUCAAUGGGUUGCGCCUGACGAGCCAAACAAAAUCCCACCGAGGUACUGAGCUUCAUCGCCACACGGAACAGCUAUGAUACUGCACAUGCACGCCGCAACUGCCUAUAUGACGGUGAACUCCACGAAAUAAAGACCUGGCCGCAUCGGCAACCGCUUGAAUCGACAUAACAGGACAUCCAAGAGCCCCCGCGGCAUCCCCCCGCCGCCCCCUGCACGGCUGCGAGUCCCAAUGCAGCCCAAUGCGAGGUUCCAGGCAUGCGGUCACAGCCUGCUCCACUUGCUCCACGCAUACAGGCGCUCCAAGUCAAGCACGCAGGAAAAAGGAAAACAGACAAGCAUCAUUGCGCAUCAUGUACAGCCCCUUCCGGCUGGCUGGCGGCCCGCCCACCCGCAGCUGAUUGCCACAGGCUACACCACAGCUGUGGCCGCCGGAACCCGCCCGCCACACCUAUGAAACCCCUAGCCAUCGCCGCCGCGUCCCUGCCCGGCCCCCGCCCCGCCGUGGCCCUGCGUGUGAUGUUAGCGCCGCUGCGUACUACCCAGCCCCACCGCCGCUGCCCCGCCCUGCCGCUGUCAGCUACUACAGCAGACAUGCCGUAACGAAGUGCCUUGCUAUUCCUCCCAGGGCCGGAAGCCCGCGAGGAACUCCUCCUUAGUCGGGGGCCGGAAGGAGGUGGGCGGCUGGCUCAGCCCCAGCGCCUGGUACACCUCGGGCAGGCGCAGUAGCGACAUGAAGACCUGCGCGUCCCAAUUUGUCUGCGCCGCCUCCCGCAGCCCCUCAUCACCGUCAAAGCCCCCUCCUUCAUCGGAGCUGUCCGCACCGAUAACGGACCCUUCACCACCCCGGUCGGCAGCCCCUGCACUGCUGUGGGCGUCCUUGUUGCCGCCUGUGGGGCCGCCUCCGCUGCCGCUGGCGUCUUGCUUGCUGCGGCCGGCGCCUCCAUCAUGCGCAUUGGUGGCGCCUCCACUGUGGAAGGUGGCGUCACCUCCCUGCUGGUUGCCGCCCGCCCCUUCUCCGCUGCCGCCGGUCCCUCCUCCCCCGCUGCUCCCGGCCCCUUCCAUGCGCGUUUCAGUCGCGUCAUUCCCGCGUGGGCACAGAAGGGCAGUCAGAAAGGCCGCAGUUAUGCUGGCCGGAUGGCUGUACGCAGCCGUGGCAGGGGAGCCUUCCGCCGCAUCUUGAAGGCGGGCAGGGCCCGCCACAUGCAAGGACCUCUUGGCGUUGCGGUCAGGGUCGUUGCGGCCAGCGUGCACCGCGUAGUGCGUGUUGAGGUCGCCAAACAGCACGACCACGUCGUCUGCGUCGAGCAAACGGUGGGGAUCGGGCUUAGAACACUGAACACCCCAACAUCGGGGCGGGGGCGAGUCUGCCCGCAAUGAGCAAACCUAUGCAGCCACAUGCGCUGACCGUGCAGCCUGUGUAACCACUUGCAGGUUGAGUGCAUCAACUGGUGCUCACCUUCAGGCCACUCCGCCAUCUGGUUGAUCACCACGUACUCCAGCACUGCCUGGGCGCGCACUUUUGGCACGCCGUCAUGCAGCAUGCUGGCCGGGGACUUGGCCUCGUACAAGCCGCAGAUUGAACCGAGCAUAGAGUGCAGCGCCUCAGACGGGGUGUGGCCAGCGUCGACCUUGAGUGUGCGCCCUUGGAGCUUCGCGCCGUAUUCCUCCUGGCACCUGGCCCAUGCCGCCUUGGUGACGAAGAUGUAGUCCGUCCUGCCAGAGGAGAUCUCAAUGGUGGUCUUGUCAAUGACAACCUCGGCUUGUAGCCACGUGAUGUCCUGAACGGGCAGGACAACCACGCCUGCAGAGCGAGGCAGCCGUGAGGCCGUAUUGGCGGGAUGGUGCAUGGGGGGCAGCGCAAACACUCAGGGUUUCCCGCUGAGGCAGACGCGCAGAGAUGGCCGGCAGGCCUUAGUGCAAGCCUUUGCUGCUCGCCGUAUGCACGGCGGUGCCAAGCGAGACAGGAGCCGUGCAGCCUUGGCACCUCCCUCAUUUGCCUACCGUAGUCUCCCUCCCACGCCUGGCCUAGAAACAUACCGGUAUCCAAAAUAUAGAAGUAUCGCUCAGUAGUGAGCCACCGCAGUAAGCGCUGCACGCACUACGAACCCAUCAUCCUGCAUGCUGCGUCCCGCUGCCACCCCUCCUGCCUACGCCCCCUGCUGCCCGCGUGCACAGGCGCAUACCUUCAGGCGCCAACUUUGCCAAGCAGGCGAGCGCACUCGUGACGUUUUCCUCCGCGUCCUCUUUGCUGGGGUUGGGCCACUCAAACGCAGGCGGGCAUGCGGCCGAGACUGGCAGAUGGCCGAAGCAGCAUGGCGCGAGUAGGUCCGGGCGGUAGUCAUACUUUAUUCUCAUCAGGCCCUCAAUCUGGUUGCGCUUCCCUGACGAGCACUGGGAUGGAGUGACCGUUACUGUCGACGGUAUGAAAUACUCGAGGACCAUUUUCAUCUCGGAGAGUCUCUGCGAUCACGAGGCAGGGGUGUGGGCGUGAAGUUGGAGCGCAUGGAGCAAAGAAGGCAAAGGAAGGCCGGUGCGUUGCGACUUCCCUGCCUUUUAGCUCACAGUUAGCACGGCACCCAGGCCGGACAUCAGGCCAGCAAUCUGCUCCGUAGCCAGCCCCUCUGACGCGCCUGAUGCACGGCGGUGGCAUGUGAAGGCACAGCUGAUCAGCCGUGUUAGGGUACAGAGUGAACGAAUGCACAAGACACACAGCAGCCUGCCCCGCCAUACAGGUGGACCGGGCAAUGAUGGGCCAGCUUGAGCUCUCUACAGUGAACCCCCUCUUAUAAGUUUUAUCACCUCUGCCUGUGCUCCACUAGUUCGGCUUGGUUAGCAUGAGUUUUGGCUGGUUUGUACCCACCCUUACCCACCCACCCCUUUCAUACAAACCGUUCACAUGAUUGCCUACCCCCCCUUGGUUCCUAGGGUGGUUUGGGGUCCUUUAGGUGCCCGCAGGCACCAUCCUCGGCCUGUAGGGCCCAGUCCUGUCCCAUCCCAGCGCAUGUCAAUCGUUCUGCAUGGGCUGUAUGCCAUGUCACCCAUGCGUGCUUCCUGCUACUGCAAGCGCAGUUGCUAGGGCCUGCUAGGGCCUCGCAGAACACGCUCCGCACCUUUUGCCGCCAUAAUCCUAUCCGCAGCAGCUGGUGAAACGCCCACCCGCCUCAAGCGCUUCAUCCGCCAUGCGCUGGCGUCCCCAGUGUGUAAGGCCCAGUACCCUUUUGUCACCUCCCCCAACCCCUCCCCCUCUUCAGGCCAGCGCCCCCGGCCUCCGCACCUUGCAUGGAAGUCGUCGUGCCUGCAGUCAGCCCAGUCACAAUGUCAGUCAAUGUAAGCUACCCAUCAAGAACAUCUCUAGGGGCCCCUGUGAUGUAGGGAGCUUAAGGGGUCUCCCAGCAGCUCGCAUGUUGAGAACCCACGGGUGAGGCUCCAUGAGCCGUGCCCGGUUAGAGCGAUCACAACCAACCAACAACAACUCACCGUCAGCUGCCGUGCUCCCUGCGCCCAGUCCGGCCACCGCGCCUGCAUGACAGGAGCCGCCUGGGCCCACACAAAGGCGAUUGAGAAUGAUUGAGAACUUUGAAGACUGAAGUAGAGGCGGAGGUCACGCUAACUUUAAAUGCGCAUAUGUGCAAUACACGUAGAAAAAACCUCACCAACUCCUGCCGCGCUCCCCACGCCCACGCCAGCCGCCGCCUGCACUCCGCCACCUGCACGACGCGAGAGCGGCCAAACGGCAGAUGCAGAUUAGCAACUAACUGCUGCUGGGAACGCUCAAUGCGGUCUAGUGUCCAGGGACGGUGUGUGUGUGUGUGUGUGUGUGUGUGUGUGUGUGUGUGUGUGUGUGUGUGUGUGUGUGUGUGUGUGUGAAAUGAAACGAAAGCCCGUCCGAUGACGGCGCCGGAGUUGCUCAUCAAUAGCUACCUGUGUGUGUAUGUGUGUGUGUGUGUGUGUGUGUGUGUGUGUGUGUGUGUGUGUGUGUGUGUGUGUGUGUGUGUGCGUGUGUGUGUAUGUGUGUGUGUGUGUGUGUGUGUGUGUGUGUGCGUGCGCGUGCGCGCGCGCGUGCAUGCGGGCGUGAACGGAUCCCAAUGAGACGGCAGCUUGAAUGAGCAUGUGCACAUAUAUGGAGCCCUGGGGCACGAUAGGCAGCUUGAAGAUGCCGCACGCAGGAUGACGUGGGACGGAGUUCAGCCCUGACAGGGAGGGGCAAGCAAAGCGUGCGUCCUGUGCGCGGUGAGGCAAGGCCUUCCGGCGUGGUGCGGCAUGCGCCUUUUUCAGGCCCGCAUUCUGUGCUAGCGACCUCCUGGGCGGCACUCCACGGCUGUGGAAGUCGUUAAUAAGCAUCUAGCCGUUUUGCAUGCAAUGCACGAAGUUUGAGGGGCCACCCAGCCCUACUCCUUGGGAACCCCACGGGUGCGUCCUGCUGACCCGUGCCCGGUUCAUGUCAACCAGCAACCAACCGCCAAGCAACAACCAACCGCCAGCUGCCGUGGUGGUAGGGGGCCACAAGUCCCAAGAACAAGCCAGGUCAAAUCACCGGCGAACUUUAGGAACUUUGGGAAUUGCGUGCCGCUGCACGGGCUCAAUGCUUUUGUAGGUGGAGUGCGGGUUUGGGCCACGGAGUAAAUAAAAAAGAAAGUGCGCUACAAGGUCAAGGUCAAAAGCCAUUGCGCUCGCGACUGGGUUCCAGCGGCAUGCUCAAUGCCCAGCUUGCUAUUAGUGCAUGUCGCCAGGGAACAGCCACAGGACACACGGUGCGACGGUACGACGUGCGGGCCUGGCGAAGAAACAAGUGCAACGUCCCAUAAACACCGGGGCGUUUCCCGGCACUCCUGUGCCUAGGCUUGUGGCAUUGAGGCACAGCGGUGGGGCUCUGGCGGGUUGAGGGUUGGCUAGGACUCACUGUGCGCGGAGUUACAAGGGCUUUGACCGCGGGAGGGUUUGCAGCAAAGUCGGGGUUGGUGGAGUCAAGGUGGGCCCUGAUAGCAUGUGAUGGCGCCUUCGGGUGCUGGGACUGUCCCCUCUGUAACAUCCGCAUUCAUGAACACCGGGGCUACGGGCCCCGCCCAGUUUUGUCGCAUGUCUCAGAUAUCACCUAGCAAGUUCAUGAUUUGGCGCUUUGGCUUGGAUGCUACGCGGAACGCACCCAGUCCCGGCGCAUUCGAGGGGCCGGGGUCGGCCUGCGCUGGCGCUAAGGCCCCAGCCCAGCCCCGGCCCCAGCUCCGGCAAUCCCCACAGUUGCUAAUCAGCUCUGCAAUGUUCGCGGUAGCUCCACAAUUUCUACCGCGGACUGAACAUAAGUGAUUUUGACAACACCGCUGCUGCUGUAGCAGCAACUUCAUGCUCGUGAACCAGGGGCAUACCAUACACUUUUCAUCCGGGAACAGUCACACAUACCUUGGAGGGAAAUGAGCUCGUCGAGGAUUCCGCGCGCGACUGCCGGCUCGUCAGCGGAGCGGAAGAGAGUCCGCUCGACUAUUGACGCCCGCGUAAAGGCAUUCGCUGCGUAGAUAGCCCAUUUGUUGGUUGGGGCAAGGGCUAAUAUACGUUUAGCGUCGGCGUCUCGAAAUUCUAGUUCGCUCAUGUCGCGAAGUUUAUGGUAACUGCUUCAGAAACAUCACCACAGCAAGCUUCAUGUAAUAAGUACUGAAUUGGAUGACCGCAUAGUCGCAAGCCCGUUCCCAGCAUGUGUAUUCACAUGGCUUGAUUGACAGGGUAUGGGGGCGGAUCUGACUACUCCAUGCAGGCCCAACUAACUGCUUUGAGUCCGGGGGCACGAAAGAAGCUGAACAAAGUAGCUGAGUUCAGCGCUCGUGUUCUAAGCGUCAUGACCUGCGUGCAAGUCCAACUUCUGAACUCGCGCAGGCAUCCGUGCUGAUGGCGCGGCGUCGCGCAGGCAUCUGCCAUUCCUCGGCGCAAGCAUCUGGACUGCCGCGGCGACCCGCCCCAGGCAGCUUCAAACCCCCGCGCACGCAGCCAAAUUUGGCUCGGCAGGGUACCCGGCUCACCCUUACAACCAGAGGCCACCGGCAACUUUUCGGAUUUCCUACCCUCCUCAACUUCUGAACAGUUAUUCUCAGCAUAGCCUGCUUCAUAUUACCACCUGUCAUGCCAACUGCUUGCCUGAGGCUUGCAUAGCUGGCAAAUUCUGGCAAACAUGCUCGCUCAUAUGUCAGGGAGCUGAAGUCCGGGGCUGGGGGUGAACCGCGGGGGUCGGUGGGGGCAAGGCACGCAACACUGUGCACACCGCUGGUUUUCGGCAUUUGCGAUGCGAGGAUGCACACAGUCACAAUUGUGUACAACCUUAUCAGCGCAAUUCGCUAGCUGUCAACUCUUGUGCCCUUUGCCUUUGCAACAGUUUUGCGUCUUGCUAGCAAAAGCCUGGGUACAUACUGUAUUUUGGGGGGUAGAUAUUUGAAAUAUUGCAUACGGGGAAGGCAAGCCAAGCGGAGUGGCGCUCCACGGCACAAAUUUCGUUGACUGCCAAGCGCGGGGCUCGCUACAGUGCCUCAAACUUUCUAAUGGGAAUGGGCAGUUUGAUUGAUGUUUGAGAACGCGCCUGACAUGCAGUCGCUCUCCCCGAGCGUGCGAUGCGCAACGGCGGGCUCACUGCGCCCGAGUGCUGCCAGCUCGUUACCACAGCUCCCAGUGCUCGGCACACCUCAACCGCAGGCGCAUAAAGCUUGGCAGGUGCGCUUGCAUUGCAACCAUCCCAUAGGCAGCGCUGAGCCCCCGUACCCGGCUUGCCAACCGAUUGCCUUGCGCGUUAUGUUCGCAGCAGACCCCGGCACAGCGUGCGGCCAUGGUUUGCCCCGUGCUGCCGGAGGGAGGCCACGGCUGCGGAGGUGCAGGCAGCACCAGCGCCAGCUGCAGCUCUCCCGAAGCAGAGCCGCUCACGGUCAGCCGCACGCAGCGCAAAGGCGCCCCGCCGCGCCCCCGCCGCAUCAUCCUGUCCGAUGACGAGGAGGAGGCGGAUGCUCACGGCGACGCUGCCAGCCCUGCAGCCGCGGAGGCCCCCGCGCCGCCGCACCGAGUGGCACACAACAGCCCCCGCCGGCAGCAGCAUCCCGCGCCCUUCCUCAACAUCACGAACACGCCGAGCGCCGCCGCCGGCUGGGCAUGUGCCGGGCAGACCAGCGGUCCCGGGUCGGGGCCUGCAGCCGCGGCUGGCGGCGACGGCAAGGCCGCGGCCGUCUCGGCUCGCCCGCCUGGGCUGCUCGCAGCGGCUGGCGGCGGCGUGGGCAGCGGCAGCCGCAGCGCCGUGGGGAGGCGCGGCAUCCUCGAGCUGGCCUCCCUACUGCGCAGCGCCAGCCCCACCGGCUCUCAAGCAGGGAGCAGCGGCCGCAACGCUGCAGUGGGUGGCGGCGGCGGCGGCGGUGGUGCCGGCCCGCUUCCUGCCAGGGGGCGCGCAGCACCCGCCGCCGCCAUGGCAGGGCUGGCGGUGGCUCUGGACCCACACGCAGAGGAGGUGCCGGCGCCGCGUGCGCCCGUGGCGCCCGGGGAAGCGGGGCUGACGGCGGCAGCUGCGGCGGCGGCGGUUCCAAGCCUGGCCGGGGCCGCAGGUCUGCUGCAGGAGCCGCAGGAGCUGAUGCCGGCAGGCCGGGACCGCAGCGGCGGUGAUGCCAGCACCAGUGGCCGCUCGCGCACACGUAGCCCGCGCGGUGGCGGCGGCUGCGGCCGUCCCACGCGGCGUAAGGCGUCUGGAGUUGGGGGCCGUGGUAGCAGCAGCGCCAGCAGUGGGGAGGACGAUGAGGCGCCGCUGACGUUUGCGCGGAGCGUCAAGCCCGCACGGACGCGGCGGCGGGUGGUGGAGGAGGAUGACGACGAUGGCGAGGCGGCGGGUGUGGGCGGCGCGGCGGUGGCAGGGGCUGCAGCAGUGGCACCAGUGGGGCAAGCACCCAGCGGGUCGGCUGCAUGGGGCCAGGUGCAUGGGGCCACAGCGGCCGCCUGUGCUGGGCCGAUGGUGGGAACGGCAGCUCCGCCUGUUGCUUCACCUGUUGCUGCUGGUGAUGCCGUUGCUGGUCCUGAUGCCGCCGCUGUUGCGCCCGCCUGCCCUGGCGAUGCGGCGUACCUGGUCGCACCCGGUCCCGGCAGUGGCCGCAGCAGUGGCAGCGGCAGUCCGGGGGUAGCCAGCCCGGGCGCCGCCUUCAGCCCCGGGGCGGCCAGCGAGGCCAGCUUCUUCUCAGCUACCGAGGGGGAGGGCGAGGGCGAGGGCGAGGACACGCAAGGAGACGAGGCAGUCAGCGGGGCGGAGGCCGGCGCCGGGGCUUCGCCCUGCCAGCCCGACGCAGCCCCGCCGUUGGUACCAGCGCCGGUGGCGGCGCUGGGUCUUGGCGGCGGUGGCGGCGGCGGCGGCGUCCAAGCCCGAGGGUUGGACGUCGCUAAGCUGGCACGUGUGCCCCGGCGGCGGCAGGGCGCCAGCCGCGACGUCGCUGGCGAUGCGGCCGCAGCGGCGGCAGCCAGCGUUGAUGACGUCAGCGGCGACAGCAGCGGCGGCGGCGGGCUGAUGUACGAUUUGUACGGAGCCGUACAGCUGGAGCGGCAGUUGGCGGGCAUGCGGAUCCAGGAGGAGGUGGAUGCCGCGGCGGCGGCGGCGGCGGCAGCCGAGGUGGAGGUGGAGGCGGUAGGCGGCGAUACCGGCGAUACCGGCGAGGUGCUUGACGCGGAGCUGGACGUUGUGGCGGAGCUGGACGUUGCGGCGGAGCUGCUUGGGGGCCAGCUACGGCAACUGAUUCUGUCUUCCCGGGCUGCUGACGCCGGGACCGUCGUGGCGCCGCCGUCGGCGGCUCAUGGCGAUCAGCCGGAGCCCGCCUCAGCCCGCGCCCAGGCGCAGCAGCAGGCGCAGCCGCAGGCGCAGCAGCAGGCGCAGCAGCAGGCGCAGCAGCAGCAAGCGCAGCCGCAGGCGCAGCAGCAGGCGCAGCCGUCCGCUCGGCCGCCGCGGCGGACACGCAGCAAGUGGCCUGCGCCAAAAGACGGCGUGUCGCCGGCUGCUUCCGACCGGUCGGAGGGCGUGGGCGAGGCUGGACCUGGACCCAUGGCCAGGCUGGAAGCGCUGGGGGCCGCGGCGGCGGCGGCGGCGGCUGCCUGGCCGUCGCUGUCCCCUGCCUCCGCCGGCUUUAGUGAUGCCGUCGCGACGUCCUGCAGCGACUUCCGGACGGCACUGACAGCUCAGGGAUCAGGUGGCUGGGACGGCGAGGAGGAGGACGGCGGCCAGCAGUGCACCUCGUUCCUGACACCGGCGCCGGCAGCAGGGCCGGGCGCAGGGGCGGGCGGUGUGGAGGUGAUGGACCUGACCUGCCUGCCCAGCACGGACAGCGCCAGCGGCGGGGGCAGCAGUGCUCGCGGCGAUGAGUCGGCGGCUGGGGCGGGGGCGGGCGCGCGGCGGCGCCACCCCGCCGGCCUGCUGGAGGCUUACCAGGGGGGCGCCGCUUCCGCCAGCACUGCCGCCAGCACUGCGCCUGUAGCAGCGGUGCCUGAGCCGCAGCUACAGCCGCUACCCGCCAUCGUGGACGCCGCACUCGGCAGUAGCGACAGGGGGCUGGCGGAAGACACGGCCUCGGACGAGGAGGCUGCGGCCGCGCCGCCAGGAGGGCGGCAGCAGCAGCGGCAGCGGCGCAAGGAUGCUGGCGGUGGCGCCAAGACGCCGGGCCGGCGGCGGCGCCGGGCGAUUGUGUACGACAGCGACAGCGACGGCGCCACGGGUGCGGAGAGCCCUCAGACUGCCGUUGCUGCUGGGAUUAGCACCGCUGUCAGCAGCGAGAGCACAGAGGAGGAGGUAGAGCAGGAGCUCGUGGUGGUGGUGCGGCCGGGGCGGCGGAGAGCGGGCGGCGCGGGUGCGGGCGUGUCCACCACCGCCACGCCGGUCGCCGGCGGGCAGCGGCAGCGGCGUCCUGCCGACCCCUAUAAGCUAUCAUCGUCCUCGACAUCCCCCUCGUCUGCAUCUGCAUCCUCGCCCUCCGCUGGCGGCGACACAACCGCAUCCUCGCCCGCCUACUCGCCCUCGGCAACGGAGUCGGCGACCGAGUCGGCAACCGGCAGCGAAGAGGAGGAGGCUGCGGAGUCGACAGAGGAGGAAGAGGAGGACCCGAUGGCGAGGGCGGUGGCGCCGCCGCCGCUGCCGCCAUCGGCCCGCCGCGGCCUCCCGCAGCGGCCCCCCUUGCCCCCACCACACACGCCUGCUCGCGGCCCCGCAUCAGCGGCCCCUACCGCCACCCCCGCCACCAGCGCCGGCGCCGCCGGCACCCGCAAGGGCGCCGGCGCGCCUGCUACGGCCGCCGCCCCUGCAGCCCCUGCUACAGCCGCCGCCACAGCCGACGCGACGGAGGCGGCGCGGCGACGCUUCCUGUCCGAGCGCAAACGGCUUGCGGAGCGGCUGUAUGCGGGCUGGAACGAGCGCGUGUUCGGGGGCCGGCUGCCGGCGGCGCUGCCUCUGCGCUGGAAUGCGCGCAUGACCAGCACUGCGGGCCAGGUGGUCAGCGAGCCGGAGCUGCCGGGCAGCAGCAGGUGCGGGCGCGGGCGCUGGGAUGGGGGGAAGGGGUGGUGGGAGGGUGGGGAGGGCGUUGUAAGGGUGGGGUGGGGGUCAGAUGCCCGAGCCCAGCGAAUGGGGUGUGGGGGAAAUGAUUCAGGGCGGCGCAAGGGGUAUUGGAGGGGGGGGCGGCUUCACGCAGCGGCACCCGCCUGCCGGGGCAGCCGACCCGCCCAGCCCGCCACCGCCGCGCGCACGCACCGUGCCGUCCGUACCCCCCCCCGUGCACAUGACUGGCACACGCCCCACACACGCGCCCCCCGCCCGCCCUGCAGGCGUGUGCCCGCCCGCCUGGACCUGUCGCCGCUGCUGAUCACCGACCUCACCCGCCUGCGCAACACACUGGCGCACGAGAUGUGCCACGUGGCCGGUGAGCACAGCCACCCAAUCCCGCCUGCCCCACCCCCGCCAGCCCCACCCCCGCCGGCCCCAACCCUCACACCCCAUACCACCAUCCCCUACCACUUUCUUGACUAAGCAUGAAUGUAACCCCCGCCUGCCCCACCACUCACACCCCAUUCAACUUCUGCCCGCCAACCCGCCCGCAACCACCCGCACCCACUGUCCGGCAUUCUCGCAUCUCUUACUGGUCGCUUGCUGGGGUUGAUGCCCGCCGCUCCGCACACCCUCCCCCACCCACCCCCACCCACCCCACACACCUCCACCAACCCCUCCAACACCCAUCCCACGCACCCAUCCCCCCCUGGUUUAGCUUGGGCUGGUAUCUACAACCCACACACCCCCACCCAUCCCUUGUUCUCCCCACGUCGCGCCGCAGCCUGGGCCAUCAGCCACGAGUACUCGCCGCCGCACGGCCCCGCCUGGGAGCGCUGGCGCGCCGCCAUCCUGGCCGCCGAGCCGCCGGGCGCGCUGGCCAUCAGCCGCACCCACGACUACCUGGCGGCGGGCGCCACGCGCUUCAGGUGGCGCUGCACGGACGAGCAGGGCGGCUGCGGGCGCGAGUACGGGCGCAACAUGAAGUGCAUCGACGUGAAGAAGCACGUGUGCAGGUGAGGGGGAGGUCGCGGGAGUGUGUGUGUGGGGGGGGGAAGGAUGAUUACUUCAGAAGUGAAGGCGUAGGGAGGUCGGGGGGGGAGGAGGUUGGUCGCGCCAUUCCCAACUAGAGAGGGUGACGAGAUUGAGGGGAGAGGCGUGGGGUGGAGGGGGGAGGCUGCGGCUGGGUUUGUAGGGCGGAGGGGGCUCGUCAAGGCAGUGAGGCUUGUUUGUUGACUAGCCGUGACACACUAACACCCCACCUGCACACACAUGCUAUCAAUGCGUGUCUAUUGUCCUUGUGCUCUACAACACGCAAUUGCACACUGUCUCCCUUUCCCCUAUCACCCCCUCCCCUUCCCCCCUAAUUAGUCAUGAAUGUAACCCCCCUCCCCUCCUCCUCCUUGCCCCCCCCCUCACAGCGACUGCCGCAGCCGGCUGGUGUACCUGGGCAAGUUCUGUCCGCGCACCGGGCAGCAGCUGGCGGACGCGGAGGGGCGCGAGCUGGCGCGGCCGGGGGGCAGCACGGCAAAGAAGGUGCGAGAAGGGGCAGAGACGGCUGGGUGUGGGGAAGGUUGGCAGAGGGGAAGGCGGUAGGGUGGUAGAGGGGAAGGCGGGGGGGGGGGACUGCCGACUAUGGCAGAUCGCCGCCAGUGGAGCCGUCUGUAUGGAAGGUGCUGUGCCUGCCAUACACGUCCCCCUCCUCUUGCCCCUCCUGACCACCCCUCUCCAACCCACCCCCACCCCGGCCCUCCAGGCUCCCAACUCCUUCGCCAGCUAUGUGCGGGACCAGUUCGCGGCCACGGCUGCCGGCCUGCCGCCGCGCACACCCACACGCGAGGUCAUGAAGGCCAUCAGCGCCAAGUGAGGAGGGGAGGGGACGGGAGGGGAGGGGAGCGGAGGGAAGGGAAGGGAAGGGAAGGGGUGGCGAGGGAUGGGGACGCAGAGGGCGGAUAGGGAAUGAGCCCAACCCACCAUCAACUGAAAGCCCACCCAGUCUGAGGGAGGAAGGGAGUGAGGGAGGGAGGUAGGGAGGUGCAAUGCAUUGGCAUUCGCAUUCACACCCGUAACCCUAAGAUGGUGCCGGCUGGCGGCCGAAGAGCCCGUAUGUGGCAACCUCGCGCCCACAACCUCCUCUGUAAUAGGAAAGCACAAAGGGAAAGGGUCGACACCGUGCAUGCAUCCUCUGUGUUAAAGCGCAUCCUCUGUGUGUAUGAAUGUGUUAAAAAUCACAAGGAAAACGUCGCGCAAAUGACAGUAUAUGCGAUGCAGCAAGCGGUUUACGGAUGUUACCUGAAGUGACCUCCGCCUGUAUGUAUGUGUGAGUUAGAAUGAAACGUAUGUGUGUGUGUGUGUGUCUCCCUGCUCUUCGGCAGGUGGCAGGUCCACAAGCAGCGGGCGGCGGCGGAGGCGGCGGCGGGCGGCAGCGUAUCGCGCAGCCCGCCGCGCAGCGCCCUGGCGGCGGCGGGCGGCGUCGCGGGCGGCGGCCUGCAGGCGACGAGGCCGGGGGCGGGGGCGGCGGCUCCGGAGGCGGACACGCGCGGUGGCGGCGCGAGCGCGGCGGUCCUGGAGGCGGAGACGGAGGUGGAGGAGGUGGAGGCGGAGGAGGGGGAGGCGGAGGUGGAGGGAGGAGGGGGAGGUGGUGCCGCGGAUGUUGGACCUCAGCCUGUUGGACGACUGUGACUGAUGUACAUGGGCAUACCGGAGAUGUGAUGCAGGCGGGCGGCGGAGGCGGGGGACCCGGGCGAGCGGUGCGAGCGCACAGCAGCACACAUGGGUGAUGGAGGCGGCACGGUGCGGUGCGGGUGGCACCUGCCUGUCUUUCUUUCUUUCUUGCGCGCGCGCGCGGGCGCAGGGCGUGAAUGCGUGAUCUCGAUGUGCAUGGGCGUGUGCCGAGUGCCAGCGUGCGAAGCGGGCCGCCACGGCAGGAGGCAGGAGGAGGCAGCUGCGGGCAGCCGCCAAUUGCGGUGCAGGCAGCACGUGCGCGGCUGGCACUGACCGACUGCGGGCCGAGUGCUGGGGACCGGCUCAGUUGCUGGCGGUGGUAGGUUAGGGCUGUAGGUUGUUGUGGCGCGCGGCUGUAACAGUAUUUCAUGUAGCAUUUAUGAGGGACAGCUGUUCUUUGGGUGUUGGCCCUGGCCCCAGGACGACGUACAUAGGCUGACGAGUGCGCUUCGGGUGAUGAGAGUUAGGUGGUUGAUAGGUGACACGAGUGCGCUUUGGGUGAUAAGAGUUAGGUGGUUGAUAGGUCGCUGGGGGCUGGGGCUGUAGCCUGGCAGCCAGUUUGUGAUGACCGGAAGUAACAGACAUUAAUGUGAUCACGUUGGCAGUUUACACGAGUUUACAGACAGCGGCCUUCUCAUCUUCUCCUGGUUUCGGGGGUUAACCGGGGGCCUCAGACACACUCAACACACUCAACACACACACACACACACACACACACACACACACACACACACACACACACACACACACACACACACACACACACACACACACACACACACACACACACACACACACACACACACACACACACACACUCUCUCUCUCUCUCUCUCUCUCGUCCAGGCGCCGCCCCCAAACCGCUUUGACGAGAGCAGUCACCGGAGUGACCGGAAUUCAACGGUUGCUGCAUUGGCGCGAAGACGGUUUCGUGUAGGCCGCGCUAGAGGAAGUCGAAGCGCGUGUGGCAAGGCUAGAAACGUCUGUCGUCUGAGGGAAGACGUGACCAUCAGUGCAUGCUUGAGCUUCUGAGCCGCUGUCGCACAGGACUCGCUAACCUUAGCGCCUAUGGGCGGCAUCGGCGCAUCGUUCCAGGCAUCUUGCACCAUGUCAACAUGUCUUCGCUGCCACGUGCCGGCGCGCCGUUAUGUGUGCCGUUCAAAUAUGUGUGCGAGAAUUAUGACGCCUUAUCAGGGGGGGACUUCUCACUUGCUUGCACCUGUUCCGGCUGUCAUGCCGCCGAGCGGCACGCACCCGGGCCCCAUCCAAUCUAGUGGCAUUUCGAGCUGCAUACACCGCCCACGCAUACGUUCAAUAAACAUUUGUUUGUUACAAACGACACCUCACGACGCUGGGAGCCUUGUCCAACUCGAAGCACGCAGGGCACUAUUGCUUGCGCGGCAGGGAAAUGUCGGGGUUGAUUGUAAACCAUAAUGACUCCGCUGGGUGCACAAGCAUUGAGAUAACAUUAUGAGGAGGAUAAUACUGCAGCGCUGGGGUCGCUGAGUUGGAAUGGCCGAGGCCAUACAGGCGCUGUUGUUGAAUGAGCGCUUUGCACAGUCGGAUGCGCUGGUAAGUAGUAAUGACAAGAAGCGCCGUCGAACAAGCGCUGCUGGGCCUCCAGCGACGGAGUUCCCAUGCGCUCAGCCGCUCGUUGAAAGUUUGUUUAGUCGCGAUGAAGGGCUCAAAAUACUCCAUCCGAUGCUUUGUGCGCUCUUACAGGUUCAGGAGGUGCAGGAGGCGGCGACGCGCGCAGCUGAAAGUGACCUACGGCAUGGCGUUGCGCAGCAGAGAGCCGCGCCAAGUAAACGCGCGUCAUUCCUACUUCCACAGAGACAGGGAAAUCAUGCUCAUGAACAUUAUGAACAGGUGCGCAACGUACGGUGUAUACGGCCUCAGACUGCCCGACCCCAAGAAGUUCACACGCGUACUUACAGCAUCCGCGGCGUGAACUCAAACGCGUACUUACGGGAGGCCCCAGCCUGCCCUCGCGGAGUCCCUAGACUGCCCGGGACUGGGUCCUGUGCUAUGCCAGCGUUGCCCCUGGCGCCUUCCUAACCGGCUUUGCAGGGGCGCCUUGCGCCGCCCCGCUUCCUCCUCUCAGCUCUACUAAAAUGCUUACAAUCAAGUGCCCCGUGCAAGUGCCCCAAGUAUCCUUACGUCGCUAAUGUCCCAAACGUCCCCAACAACCGUGCCCCCUGCCUCUUCCCCUACAGCUGCUGGCUCCGGACAUCACGGGCCCUAUCAUGCGGCGAGCCUCCUGGGUGGAAGACCCACUCGUGGGCGGGGCGGACGGCGGGGCGGGGGCAGCAGCAGCAGUAGCAGCUGCAGCAGCAGCCCCUGGAGGAGGCGGCGGCGGCGGAGGGCCGCCGGGGGCCCGAUCCGGGGGCUCCCCAUCCGCGGCAGCGGCACCUGCAGCAGUUGGGUUCGGUCUACCCCGCACGCCGCUGCGGGUGUUGUCAAUGGGCCUAGCGGCGGCGGCGUCCGCGGCGGCGGGGCUGCUGGCAGCGACUAGCAGUGGCGGCAGCAGCGGCGGCGCGGCUAACGGAGGCCUGGGGCACGAGCAGCCGCAACACCAGCCGCAGCAACACCAGCAGCAGCCGGCUGGGUUGCAGCGAAUUGCCUCUCGUCGGCAUCAACUGCCGCCAGUCCCAGCGCUGAGCAUGCCGCUGCAGCACCAGCAUCACCAGCAGCAGCGCGAAGCGGGCGGCGGAGAGGGCGGCGACCUCGUCACCGCGUUCUCGGCUGGAGGCAACACGGCGGCGGGGCUUCGUGGCGUGGCAGCGGGGCCAGCGGGGGCGUGGGCGCUGCUUGACACGACCCCCGAACCACCGCCGCCACACGCAAGCGGCUCGCCUAUGGGUGACGGCGGCGGAGGCGGGAGCCUUCAGCGCGUGCCGUCUGUCGCUGCAAGGCUGGGGCAGGUACAGCAGCUGCGGCCGCGGCUGCCAGUUGCCUUGAGCAGCUUGACCAUACCGGCGGCGGCGGCGGAGCUGCCACAGCGCUGGUCCGAAGAAAGUGCGCCGCCGCCGCAUUCCGCACAAGCCGCCAACCAACACCAGCACCAGCAGCAGCAGCAGCAGCAGCAGCGAGCGGACGCCACAGCGGUGGUGAGCCUCCUGGACAGCUGGGGGAAUAUACCCAGCCUGGAUUGUGACGGCGGCGGCGGUGCUGGCGGCGGCGGUGCUGGCGGCAGCGGCCUGGCGGCGGCGGCGCCGCUAGGGCCCGUCGGGACAGGUCUGUCGCGACGCAACCCGCGAAUGGCAACCCUUGCGUCGCGCCGCGCGGACCGAUUGGGUCGCCUCCUGGCACGCUCGGGUGACGGCGCCGCCCCUGGCGGCGGCAGCAGCGCUGGCCGCGCCGCUGACGCCAGCGGCGGCGCCGACACCGCCAUCAGCUUCCACCGUGCAGAACCGGUGCGUGUCCGGCCAACCUCAGCAGCUGCGCGGGACCGUGGUGUAGCAGCGGACGUGCCGGGGGGUGCGGCCGCAACCGUUGUCGGCGAUGGCGGUGGUGGCGGGGCGUGGUGGCUGGAGACCAGUCCGGCCGACUUGUUGGACGCGCAGCAGUGGCGGGGUGCGGCGGCGGCGCCAGCUGCGGCGGCAACAGCGGUGUGGUCCUCGCUGGCCGCGGGGCCGCGGCGCGACGGCGCACCUGGGUCAUCACCACCGCCACCACCGCCAGCUGCCGCCGCCACUGGCUUGCCCGGUCAGGUGCAUCAGGUCUCGGAGGACGGCGGCAGCGGCGGCGCUGCCGCCGACGGCGCUGGCGCCGGCGCUGCCGCCAGCGGCCUGCUGUCGCCGGUCAGAGUGAGCAGCCCGGCGGCUGCCGCCACCGGCACCACCGCUGCCGCGGCGGCCUCACCCGUUGCAAAGCCAGCUGGCGUCGCCGCUACAUCGGCGGCGGCGUCAGCGGCGGCGGCGGCGGCGCUGGCGGAGCUCGGUGACGGCGGGGCGUUCAUGCUGCCGCCGUCGGCGGCGGCGGCGGGCGCAGGCACGUGCGCCAAAGAGGUGGACUGGUGGGUGCGGUUCGCACGUGACAGUAUGGACUUAACAGCAAUGUCAGCAUCCGGCGACGGCGGCGGCGCGAGGGGUGGUAGCACGGGCCUGCGCAAUCGGCGGCGGGGGCGCAGCAGCCGCCGGGUGUCGCAGGAAGAGGAAGAGGAGGACCGAGGCCGGGAUGGCAAAGCCUCCAGCGUCGGCGCCGGCGGCGCGCUGACGGCGGUGGUGGCGGCGGCUCGUUGGAAGAAGAAGAUGGGGCUGGCCGGAACGGCGGCGGCGCGGCAGCAUGGCGGCGGCGGCGGCGCCGGCGGCGCUCUGGCGGCGGAGCAUGUGCCCUGGUGGGCUCUGGCUCUGGACCUGUUGUCACUGGCGGACCGGUCACUGCCGCUGUUCCUGCCCUCGACCUCCCGCACCAGGUGUGUGUAUGGGGGGGUGGGCCUGCUGAACAGCAAUCGGGUAUUGCAAGUGUUGAAGGUGGCUCUCCUGGUCAAUGCGGCGCCCUGACACAUCCAUCGUUUGGCAUGUCGUGUCUCAUAAAACGCCUUCCUUUCUCCUCCUUCCUUCCCUCCAUCCUUCCCUCCUCUCCCUCCUCCUCCUCCCCGCUCUUCCCCUCCCCAGCUGGGACGUGUUCAUGCUGCUGCUGCUGCUGUACACGGCCGCCGUGGUGCCCAUGGAGGCCGGGUUCCGCGCCCUGAACGCCGUCAGCAGCGGCGGCACAGCGGGCGGCGGCGGCGGCGUGCUGGCGGCGGCGGACCUGGCGGUGCUGCUUGCGUUCUGGAUCGACAUUGGCGUGCAGUUCAGGUGCGUGCGUGUUCGUGUUUGUGUUCAUGUUCGGUGGAUGGCAAUAAGAAAUGAAGAAGUGCAAGGGAAGAAAGCCCGCAGGACUGUGCAUGCGAUGCGGUGCGGCGCUGGCGGUAUUAUUAACAUGGGCCUGUGCGCGGUAUUGCUGCUAUCACCUUCGUGCUUGCCCAACACACACGCUCCGACGCCCCUGUGCCCUCUUCCCCCAUCCCCCCCCUCCCUCCCCUCCCUUCCCUCCCCUCCCUCCCCCUCCCUCUCCCCCCUGCAGGACCGCCUACAUCAGCUCCAGGGGCGACCUGGUCCGCAGCAGCCCGCGGGUGGCGGCGCACUACGUCCGCACCUGGCUGGCGCUGGACCUGGUGUCGUGCAUGCCCUGGGACGCCAUCAUGAGGGUGGGUGGGAGGGGCCGGGGGGGGUGGGGGGAGGGGUGGGGGGGAGAGGGGGAGGGGAGAGGGGUAGGGGAGAGGGAGAGGGGAGGAGGAGGGAAGCGGGUGAGGGGACGGUGGGUGGGUGGAAGCGCAAAGAGCGAGGGGGAGCUUGUCCUGGGGGUUUGUGGGGCAGUAAUGUUGCAGCAUAUAUUCAUGUCUCUCACCCUCUGCCCGUGCCCUCUGCCCCACAUUCCCGUCCCCGCCUCUUCCCCUCCAGGCGGCGCUGCCCUCUACUGGCGCCGACUCCACCAGUGUCCUGGUGCUGCUGCGCGUCCUGCGGCUACUCAAGCUGUUCAGGUGGGUGGGUGUGAGAGUGUUGGGCUAGAGAACACGGCGCCGUGGGUUUGGCGUUCCAGGGUUUGCUCCAGCCCCACUCCACCUCAUCUCACGGCUCCACCUCCACAGUUUCCUCCUCCCCCUCGUCACCUGUGCAGCCCAGCGCACUCUCGCUUGGCUACAGGCUUGGUUCUAGUAACCUCCGCACCACCUGCUUACCUUGCCCACACCCCGCACCUCCCACACCACCUCCCCCACCAAUGCCCCCCACCACACCUCCCCCACCACUGCCCUCGCCACUGCCCACACCACUGCCCCCGCCACUGCCCCCCACCACUGCCCCCCACCACUGCCUCCACCCCACUGCCCCCCACCACUGCCCCCCACCACUGCCUCCACCCCACUGCCCCCCACCACUGCCCCCCACCACUGCCUCCACCCCACUGCCCCCCAACACGUCCCGCACCACCUCCACUCCCCACCUACUGUCCCCGGGUUACCCUGCUUGUAUCCUGUUCCCAAUGUUUCCAACCUUGCAACCCCCACCGCUGCCCCCCACCCCACUGCCUCCACCCCACUACCCCCUCACCGCUGCCCCCCCUCACCACCCCCAGGCUGCUCCGCGGCCUGGACCGGGCUCUGGGCCGCUACGGCACCCUGCUGCGUCUGGGCCGUCUGUUUGGUCUGAUGCUGCUGGUGGCGCACUGGACCGCCUGCCUGUGGCACGGCAUGAGCGAGUGGCUGGACGGUGAGGGGCCGUGGUGGGGGAGGAGGGAGAGGGGGAGGGAGAGGGGGAGGGGUAGGGGCGCAGCGUAGACGUGCAGCAGCCCUCGCCACGCCUCCCCCAAAGACUCGGCACCUCAUUGCAACCGUUCAUUCUGUUUAUACUGGCCUUGUAACACACACCCACACAUACACACACACGCAGACACGCACACACACACACGCACAUGCCCCCUCCCCAGGCUGGCCAUGGAUCUUCACGGACCGCCUGCCGCCCAACGCCGGCUUCGGCCCGCAGUACAUGUGAGUGACAGGGUUGGGGGGGGGGGUUCGUUGUUUGUUCCGAAUCCAAGUAGACCCAGGACCAGCCCACAGAGCGCGAGUGGGCAAGAUGAGUUUCAGCUGUGGUCUGUGCAGGGGGCCUUUAUCACUCUGCUGCACUCAUGCAUUCUGGCUAGCCUAAUCAUGUUGUGUGCACGGAUCAAACCAACCAAGCGGUCAAUGUCAACAACAAGACACACCACGCAACACCGCCACCACACACCGAACACGCCCCCCUCACCCACCCACCCAACCACCCACCACACACGCACACACAGACACACACACACACACACACACACACACACACACACACACACACACACACACACACACACACACCCAACCACCCACCACACACGCACACACAGACACACAGACACACACACACACCUCCGCGCCUGCUCUGCUGCUGCUGCCGCCCCCCGCCCCCCGCCCCCCGCCAGCUGCUCGCUGUACUACGCCUUCGUGCUGGUGGUGGGCAGCGACAACCUGCCCGCCGCAAACAACCUGGAGCGCGUGUUCUACAUUGUGAUGCUCAUGGUGGGCGCCGUGCUGUACGCACUCAUCAUGUCCAACAUGGUGAGUAGCGGAGCAGAGCGGUGGGGAAGGAAGAUGCGAUUUCCCUCGAUUAUGCGUUCUGGUGAUGUCAGUUGCGCCAUAACAUAAAUGAACACACAACACAGAUAAAUCUGUGCCAGCCGCAACGCAGUAUCUCCUCUCCACCCCGCCCCUGCCCCCCUUCCAAACGUCCUUGCAAGCCCCCCUAACCCCCUCCUCUCCCUCCCGGGAUUGGUUCAAAGUUAACCCCCUAACCCCCUCCUCUCCCUCCCGGGAUUGGUUCAAAGUUAACCCCCUAACCCCCUCCUCUCCCUCCCCUCCCCCCUCUUUUCAUCGGGCUCGGGCGCUCUCCUGGUCGCUCUUUUGCAUCUGUUUCGUUCGGGCUGGUAUCCACAAACCCCCCUCCUCCUCCCCCUCGCCCCGCCUUUCCCAGGCUGUGCUGGCCACCAACCUCAACAGCCUGGCCAGCCGCUACAGGACCAAGGCGGCGCUCGUGGCGGACGCCCUGAGAUACGUGGGCGCGCCGCCAGAGGUGGGUGCGGUGGCGGGGCGGAGGGAGGGAAGAGCGAGGGAGAGGAGGGAGAGGAGCGAGGAAGAGGAGGGGGAGGAGGGGGAGGAGGGGGGAGGAGGGGGGAGGAGGGGGGAGGAGGGGGGAGGAGGGGGAGGAGGGGGAGGAGGGGGAGGAGGGGCGAGGGAGGAGGGGCGAGGGAGGAAGGCUGUCAGUGCAGUGAGGGCUUGCCUGCCUCGAGCUUACAGCAUAACGGUAGAUAGCAUGGGUGAUACGAGGCACUGCCUGCCCAUCCCCAUGCCCCCAACCCCUGCACAUCCCCAUGCCCCCACCCGCGCCUUCAUGUAUGUCAACCCCCCUGCCGUACGCCUCCGCCCACAGUUCAGCGCCCGUGUGGCCCAGCACUACGAUUUCCUCACACAGCACGACCACCCCGGUGAGAGCCGUCGCGUGCGUGCGCACACAUAUGCGUGCUGUGUUCCCUUGUGUACGCACGCACACAUACACACAUACACACACAUCCGUAAACCGUCGCUUUGCUGCAUCGCAUACACUGUCUUUGCGCAACGUUCUCCUUGUGCUCUUUAACACACAUACACACAUACACACACAUACACAUAUGUACACACACACACAUGCACGCACACGGACGCGCGCGGGCUCCGAUUUGUUUCCUCAGUACCCUCCUUCCAUAGACAGAUAUCCCUGCACUCACCCACACCCUCCAACCCCCACACCCUCCCCAACCACAGGCCCCGAGGCCGACGCCUUCCUGGCCACCGAGCUGCCUGCUGGCCUGGUGACCGACACCCGCUGGGCGCUGUACGCGGCGGCGUGGGCGCGACUGCCGCUGUUCGGCGGCUGCUGCGAGCCCUUCAUGGCGGCGCUGCAGGUGGGGGUGGGGGUGGGGGCGGGGGGGGAGUGGACCGUUGUGCGUUUGGUGAAAGAAUCCAUUUUCAAAUACGCACAUACACGCACACACACACACACACACACACACACACACACACACACACACACACACACACACACACAAACACACGCACACACGCGCGCACACACACACACACACACACACACACACACGCCACACACACACAAACACACGCCCUCCACCACAGGCCCGCCUGACGCUGCUUGCCUUCACGCCCGGGGAGGUCAUCUACCGGGCGGGCGAGGCGGGUAGUCACAUGUACCUGGUGCGGCAGGUGGGUGGGCGGGUGGGGGGGGGCGUGUGUGUGUGUUGAUGUGUGUGUGUGUUGAUGUGUGUGUGUGUGUGUGUGUGUGUGUGUGUGGAUGUAUGCGUGUGUGUGCGUGCGUGUGUGUGUGUGUGUGUGUGUGUGUGUGUGUGUAUGUGCAGUCGUGGGGUGGAACGAUGUGCCCGGUUGCGGAGUUUUACCAGAACGGUGAUGGCGCAUGUCAGCUGUCGGGCGACACACACACACUCGUACAACCACCGCCGCCGCCACAGGGCCACGUGCUGCUGGUCUCCCCCGACACCCCCAACUCCUUCAACAGCAGCCCCGGCCUCGGCUCCGGCCACACGCGCAGCGACAGCGACAGUGGCGGCGGCGGCGGCGGCGGCGGCGGCGGCGGCGGCGGCGGCGGCGGCGGCGGCGGCGGCGGCGGCGGCGGCGGCGGGUUGGCGGAGGUGGUGCGGCCGGGCGAGGCCUUUGGGCAGCUGGCGCUGUUGCCUGAUCUGGCGGGUCGGCGGCGGCGGUACACGGCUGUGGCGGGGCGGGCCUCGGAGCUGGUGGCGCUGGCGGGUCGGGACCUGGCGGCGGCGUGCCGCGACCACCCCGAGUGCGGGGCGCUGGUGCAGGUAGGGGCGGGUGGGGGAGAGGGGGCGUGGGUGGGGUUUGUGUGUGGGUGGGUGGGGGGGGGGGGUUGCGGUGUUAAGGCAGUGGAUAGGCGUGGGAGGGAGUUGUAAAUACCAGCUCAAACUAAACCAAACCGAGCUAAGCUAGCGGGGGUGAGGGGGGACUCACAAAUGCGCGUCUUCUUUGGCAUGCAUGUGCACACACGUGCCGUACACGCACGUCCACUCACACAGACACACACACACACACACACACACACACACACACACACACACACACACACACACACACGUAUGUAUGCACACACGGCCACAGGAGCGGCUGAUGCAGCAGCUGGAGGACGUGGUGUACGGCACGCACUGGUGCUGGUUCAUUGAAAAGGUAGGUGCGAGGGGAUGAGAGGAGGGGGAGGGAAAAGGUGGGGAGGGAAGAGAAAAGGAGGGAGGGGCGAGCGAAGCGCGCCAACGUUGGAGGAAUGCAACCCGACGGAGCAUCAAUGGUUGCGGUGCGCAUAGGCAAACACGCGAGGUGCGGCGGCUGGGGGAUGUCAGUCAUUGCGUAACUUCGCUUCUAUCUGAGUCCAAAACCCAUAGCCGUAACCCGCCGCCCAAACAUGGCUGGUUGGCUGCAGGUGCUGGUGCCGUACCAGCUGUACGGCGACGUAACCGAGCGGAAGGAGCUGUACGGCAACGGCGGCGGCGGCGGCAGUUCCAACGGCCCCAACCACCGCAACCACCACGUCCACAGAUCGCAGCAGUCCAUAACCGCCUGGCAGCGCACGGCGGCGGUUGAGGCGGUUGAGACCGUUGAGGCAGUGGGUAGCAGCACUGGCGCCGACGGAUCCAGCUCGCCCGGCGGCGCUGCAACCGCUGCCAUGUCACUCCAACCGACACUGUUGCGGCAGCCGUCGGUUGGGGCGGUUGGGGCGGUUGGGGCGGUUCUGGUCAAGAGCGGGUCAACGCGGGCAGUCGCCUUUGCGCCAGACACCGCCGGCGGUAGCGCCAGCACUUCUGCCAGUGGCGUCCAGCCGCCGCCGCCACUGCCGCUGCCGCUGCCGCUGCCGCUGCCUGGGCCACCCCCUCAUCCAGAAGUGGCGUCUCAAGGCGAUACAGCUGGAAGCGGCGGCGGCGGCGGCGGCGGCGGCGGCGGCGGCCGGUCCCCAACGCAGCGCCCCCAGAUGGCGGCGGCGGCGGCGGCGGGCGCGGCGCCUGCGGCCCUGGAUAUGUCCUGGAGUGGCAACGAGGACUGGCUGGAGCAGCAGCCGCGGCAGCACUCGGCGGCGGCGGCGGCGGCUAGCUUGGCGGCGCUGGCAUCCGGCAGUGUCACCGCCGCCGCCGCCGUCGGCGCCACCGGAACCCCAAAGGCCGUGGAUGAGUUCGGCCUUUUGGAUUCCAACAACAGCGACAUUGACCUCUUCGCAUCCAACGCCUCGGCAGCGGCCGCCUCGAAGGCGCCUGGUCUGGUCCUGCCGCCGGCGGUGCUUGAUUCGCUCUCCGGCUACGGCGGUGCCGCCGCCGCCGCCGCCGCCGCCGCCGCCGCCGCCGCCAUUGCCGCCGCUGCCGCCAGUGCAGGCAGCAAUGCGGGCAGUAGCCGGGCCGACAGCAGCAGCGGGCAGCCGGGCGAGGACCUGAUGGACACAGCCACUUUCCUGUCGCUACUGCCGCCCUCGAGACAGCCCUCCGCGCAGCGCCUGCUGCGCAUGACCUCACGACAGGCUGGCAACGGCGACGGCGCGGCACCGGGCGUUGGCGGUGGCGGCGGCGGCGGGACGCAGUCGGGGGCCGCCGCCGCCGCCGCCGCCGCCGCCUCGCUGCUGUCGCUCGUGCCGCUCUCACGCCAGGCCUCAGCGGCACGGCUGCUACAGCGGCGUAGCAGCAGCCGCAACCGCAAUCACACUGGCGGCGGCGCCGCCGCCGCCGCCGCCACCGCCGGCGGCGCUAACGGCCAACUGCUCGACAGCAUAUCUGACCUGGUGGAGAGCCUGAUGGAUGUUUUGCCGCCGUCGGCGCCACACGGCCUGUCGCGGAUGCGCGUCCUGAGUCGCGGUCGCAAUGGCGAAGCGGCGGCGUAUGUGGAUGGCGGCAUUGUCGUUGCCGCUGCCGGUAUUGAGCAAAGCAACCUUUCGGCGUCUAUGGCCGCCACGGCGGCUGCAGCGACGGCGGCGCUGGACGCCCCCGAACCACCAGAGCCGCCGCCGGCGCAAACCACGCCACGGCGGGCGCCGCGCCGUGGCGCAUCGCGCCUUGCUCCCGGCUGGUCGGCCUUCGCUGCGCCCGGAGCGCGGGAGGAAGACCUGGAGGGGGCGGACGGCAUCAGUGCUACAGCCGCCGCCGCCAUUGCCGGAAACAUCAGUGCGCUGCUACAGCCACACCUUAGCGGCGCCGGCGCCGCCGCGGCGCCAACGCUACUACUGCGCCGCACCCGCUCGCGCUUUUUCGGCAGUGAUGGAGGCUCGAUCACCGGCGGCGCAGCUAUAGCCGCCGCCGCCGCCGCCGCUACAGCCGCCUCGGCAAACCCAGGCACUCUUGGAUCGCAGCAGAGCAUCAAGGACCUGGAGGCCAAAGUGAGUGCAAGCGGUGCCGGCGGCAACAGGGAGCUGGGGAGACCGCUCCACCACUCGAGUGGAAGCGCGUUGCGGCUGCUGCCCCUGCAGCCGGCUGUAGGACACACAGCACAUGCGGCGGUAGCGGCUACAGCCGUCGCCGCCGGGGCUGCGGCGGCGGCGGCUACAGCCGACACCGGCGGCGGCGUGUGGCAAGCCUCUGCCUCAUCGCCGCGGACGCGUGCGCGGCGCCGCAGCAGCGAGAGCAGCGCGGGCGGCGGCCGCGGGGCGGGCGGCGGCAUAUCGUCAACGCGCAGCAGCCUGGACCUUGGCGCACCGCCGCCGGCCAAGCCCUAUCGAAACAGUGGCGAAUUCGCGGCCGCCGGUCUUGCCGCUUCGCGCCUGGAGCCGGCGGCGCAGCUGCAGAUGGCGGUGGGUGUGCUGGCACGGAUGCUGGGGGCCGGCGACGCCGCCGCCGCCGCAGCGGCGGGCGCCGCCGCCGCCGCGGUUGCGGCGGUCACUGCUGAGACCGCAUCCGGCGCUGCUGCAACCCAAAGGAAGCGCUCAGGCACUGGAUAUGACAGCAGCAGCGCAGCACGUGCGCUGCUGCUGUCGCCGGCGGCUUCCGUACACGCUGCUGCUACUGCCCCUGCUGCUACUGCCCCUGCUGCUGCUGCCGCUGCUGCUACUGCCCCGGUGGAGGCGACUGCCGUGGAUCCUGUGAUGCCGCCGCCAACGCAGCAGCUGGACGCGAUGAACGGCUCACCGCUGCUGGCGGCGCUGCUGAGUCAGCAGGGCAGCCGCCAGCUGCUGCUGUCCAUAGCCGACGCGGUGGUGAGGCGUGAGGGCGCCGCGGGCGUGCCGGCCGUUGCGGAGGCGCUUGCGGGCGCCGCCGCAGCCGCCGCAGCGGCAACGGCGGCUGCGCGGCAGGCGGCGGCUGCGGAGGCGGAGGCGGCGGUGCGGGUGCUGCUGACGUCAGUGGCUGGUGGGGUUGAGCAGGUGGAGCACACGGUGAGCUAGCCUGGAAUACCGGCGGUGGGGGUUUCGACCAAGUUACAGUCACUGGAUUUUGAGGGGGGCGACCGAGGGCAUGUGGGCUUGUGCGAGAUUGCUAACUCCCUUGAACUGGUUGUCGUACGGCAGGUGGUUGGCCUGGAGGAAUCCGUACGCGCCGCCAACCGCCGCCUGGCGACACUGGAGCGCGACGCGGCGGCGGCGCAGGGCCAAGGCAUCCUGGCGGCGGGCCUGGCGGAGGCGCUGACGCGCGCCGGCAGCAACGUCGACGGCGGCGGCGGCGGCGGUGCUUGUGAUGGCGGCGGCGGCAGCGGCGGCGGCGGCGCUACUGACGGCGAUGGCGGCGGUGACGCCGCCGUCAGCGGCAGUGACGACGACGAUGACGCCACCGGGCUUGUGAAGCAGCUUCGCGCCUGCGUCGCCAGCCUUGGAGCCGGCGGAGGCGCCGCUGCCGGAGGCGCCGUCGGCGGCGGCGGUUGGGCAUCGGACCUCGAAAGUGCAACCGACGCCAGCUGGCUUGCGGCGGAGGGUGCGUGGCCACUGCCGCCGCCGCCGCUUGCGCACGGCGGCGGCGGCGGCGGCGGCGGCGGCGGCGGAGGCGGCGGAGGCGGCGGAGGCGCCGCUGGCGGCAGCUCGCGGAGGUCACUCAACGUGUCGGGCUGGGUGGCGGGAUCAAAUGGCAGCGCCGGCGGCGGCAACACGCGCGGCAGCGGCAGGGGCAGCGGCAGGGGCAGCGGCAGGGGCAGCGGCACCGGCCUUCCUUUCGUGGGGUCAGCGACGGGGCUGUUGGAUGAAUCGACUGGCGGGCGCGACGGCGGCGGUGCCCAGAACAAUCGUCGCUCAAUUGAGAUGCUGGCGGCGGCGAUUUUCAGCAACCAGCACGGCACGCCGCCAACGAUCAGGACUGGUGGCGGGGGCGCCGGGUCGCUGGCACGCACCGCCAGCGUUGGCGACGGAAGCACGUCACCCCGGGCGUCCGCGGCGCUGACGCCAAUGCGGCGGCGGAUGUCUCGGAUGGCGACCAGUGCCCCCACGUCCGCGGCGACACCGCUGCCUGCAGGUUUCGAGAGCAGUGGCGGCGGCGGCGGCGCCGCCGCCAGUCGUGCCGCCAGCCGCGCCGUCAGCCGUGUGCCGAGCCGCAUCAGCCGUGCCUCCCGCCGUACCACCAUGCACAGCAGUCACGGCGAAGACGGUGACGGUGAUGGGGACGAGCUGCUGCUUAGUAAUCAGGACGCCGGGCCGUUCCGCCGCCGCUCCACGGAAAGCGCGGCGGCGCUGUCGCACGCGCUGUCCGGCGUUGUGGAGGCGCUACCCCUUAGCCACAACCGCAGCCGUACUUCCAGCCUGUACGGCGACCCCGCCGUGCCGUACGGUGCCAUGCCGUACGGUGUCGUGCCGUACGGUGCCGCCAGCACCUCCCGGCGCCGGUCUCUGGAUGCGUCCGGCUUUGUGGAGCACUUCUUCCAACCUCAGCAGCACCCACAGCAGUGGCCCUACAUCAGCAGUGCCGGCGGUCACGUCGACGGCGCCGCGGGUGGCGAGCACCUGUCCGCCGACGGCGGCGAACUAGGGGCGCUGCUCCAGGCGGCCAUCGGCGGCAGCAUUGGCGGAGAGGCGCCGGCUGGCGCCGACGGCGGCCCCAAGCACGGGACAGCGACAUCCCGCGAGCGCCGCCGCUCGCGUGCCGUCAUCGGCGACGGCGCCGCGGGCGCCGCUGCUGGUGGCAACGGCGGCGACGGCGCAGCGGUGGCGGUGCUGCCUGGCGCAGAUCCCUUCUCUCCCGUGGGCCCGCGCUCCCGCCGAGCCUCGCUGCUGCUGAUGCAGGCGGCGAUGCAGACGGACGGCGCUGGUGGCGUUACCAUCGCGCCGGGCUCCCCUGCUGCCGCCGGCGCCGCCGGGUUGGGUGUGUUGCCGCGACGCGCGCCGGUCAUCGCCGUGUUGGAUGACUCAGUCGUGGCGGGCGCCGGCAGUGGUGGCGGCGGCGCCGGAGCACGCGGCGGCGUCGCGCCAUCGGAGCGGCCCGGCGCCCGCCGCGCCGCCGGGGCCGGCGGCGCCGCCUCCGGCUACAGCCGCAGUCGCACCGCAGCCACUGAAGGGGUACUGGGGGCGCCGCCAGGGGCCAUGGCGCUCAGCCCAUCGGCGUCGAGUGCGACAGCCAGCAGCGGCGGCGGCUUCAGUGGCUCGCAGUACCGCCGCGCCAGCACCUCCUUGCUACUGCCAUCCGGCGGAGGCGCUGGCAGCAUUGGCAACAUCAGCAACCUCAGUGCGCUUGCCGCCGCGAUCAUGGGCCCUGGUAGUGGCCGCGGCGGCAGCGGCAGCGGCGGCAACCGCACGGCCCCCGCCGCCGGCGCCGACAACGGCGCACCCGGCUCGCCACCUCGGCAGAGCCAAGCCGCCAGCCGCUUAGGCUCGGUGCUACUGCCGCCAGAGGUGUCGUACUACGGCACUGCAGCUGGCAGUAGCAAGGCCGCCAGCCGCCGCAGUAGCCGCGCGUCUGGUGGGGGCGGGCCGGUUGAUGCGGUGGCGAGUGGCGCUGCAACGUCACGUGAAGAGGAUGACGAUGAGGGAGCGGGGGAGCGGGACGAGGGACCGCAGACAGGUGGUGAGGUGGGACAGGAGGCGGCGGUGGUGUAGCAUCAGUUGCUGCUGCGGCGACGGCUGCUCUGACGGCAGCUACAGCUGCAUCUACGGUCACGGGUGGCAGCGAUGAGGCCGUGGGACCACCGCCCCCCGACGGUGCAAGUGAGGCUGGCGCGGCUUGCGGUGGCCUGUUUUCCAGUCUGUUUCGGCGUUCCAAAAGCAGUGGGGGGCGGGUUGUGAGGUAUACGGCAGCACAUGCCGUUUCUCAGCGGUCGCAACUGAAAGUUCAACGUCGCAGCUUUGGGUUCCCCCGGGGGCGCCGUGGCUUCUUUCAUGGUGGGUAUUCAUGCAUUCUUGAAGGCAAUCGCAAGGUCCCAAGUGCUUGAAUUUAAGAACACGAGUGGCAAUGGACCGCAUCGGUCAAACGGACUGGACUGGGGUAACGUUGUCCAGGCUUUUGGGUCCUCCUGCGCACAAACGCAGCAAGGGAACGGGAGAUUCGGACGCGUGGGUCUGGGACGGUGCCGGCGGGGUGCCUGCAGGCAUGCAGGCUGCGACAGCGGUAUUGCAAGCGUUUGUUGCGAGUACAUGUGUAGUGAUGUGUAGUGAGCACGCACUGGUACGCAUGGAUGGAUUGCAACUGGGUCAUGCGGCUGUCCUUGCUUCGAUAUCGUCAUCCUUACCAGUCGAAGAUUGAUUGAUGUUUUAUGGGUUGCCUGGGGGUUUACUGAGCAUAGGUGUCUUGCUGGAUAUACAUGCCCACUUACUUAUCGCCUGCUAUUGAGUUUCUCGAUUGGCCGGUGACAAAGCAAAGUAAAUGCGGCCGGUUGACAUCUCGCAACGUACCGUGCACUAUCACUGCUUUCCCGGUGCGAACAUGCCGACAAACCGAGUGAAGAGUGCCAAGGUCCCGCGUGCCUUGGCGAGGCCUGGCUUGCCAGCUUCUGAGUCAAGUCUAAAGUGAUUGGUUGUUUUCACCAUUUCCAUUAAUGGAAGACCGGAACUAUGGCAGCACAGCAGCAAUUGCGCACCAUCUACACCUGGGGGGGGGGGGGGCACAUGUAUCAGGGCUGCACAGUGCACACCCGGCGUGCAUCACCGGCAGAAUCAAUGCAUCUCGACGUGACUGAUGCAAUCGGGGUGUAUGACUGUGUGCACGCAAUGCGCGUAUGGGUUUGGAGCAUACAGCGAGUGCGUGCUGAUGUGCUUGAGAGCACGAGGAAUAAGGGCACGAACGGCAGUAUUUGCGUGCGUGUGCGUGGAGGGUAACUGGCGCAUGUGUCUCUGGCAAAGAGUUGUAUGACAUGCGAGAUUGAGAUAGGGAGAUGCUGAGAUGUCUUUGUGGAGAGAGGCGAUUUGCUUUGAGGUGGGCCACGUUUAGUGUGGUAGGAUGGUCGUGGGCAAGCGGAGCAUAUCGUAUGGUGGUGAUUGAGUUUUCAAGUCUUUCUGUCAUCCUUUCCUGCUUCGCCUGUGGGACGUGUCAGGGCACGGUGGUGGUGCCGAGGAAGCGUGGAGAAGCGUGGAAUACAGAAAAGUUGGAGGGGCGGGCAGGGGCGAGGCAGUGCGCGUGCUACGCGUGACAGCAUGACUGAUUUGUGCGGUCAUGGGCAGUUGUUUUAAUGCUUUGGUGCGGCGGCUCCAAGUCCUCCAACACUUUACAAUUCACCUGCCCGUGUACCCGACUCCUGCGUUUUUUUUGCGAAAACCGCCCGGCGCCCCUGGACCUACCUAACGUCCUAACCAGGAGGUGAAGGGCCAAACCGUGGGGCCACGGCCUGCCCUGCCCCGAUCCCGAAACCUGCCCCUAGUCAGCCCCGUACCCCACCACCUGCUUUGCUUAUGAUCUUGCCCCUUUCCUGCCCACCACCUGCAGUUUGGCAGCAGGGGCUGAUGGCUUGGCGAGGCUUGGCGAGCAACUCUCGCAGGGCGGCACAACCUGCAGCCGUGCCCACGCGCCCCGACACAGAAGGACCACAAACAGCUUCGACCAUAGCUUCUAUGUCACAAUACACAGCUACUUGCGCGUCCAGGCAAAAGACAAACACGGCAGUUGCUUCAUUACCAUCGGGGCGUUGAGCAGUACAAUCAAAUCGCAGCGAGUAUGGCGCUGUCUUGUAUGAAAAUGCUUUUGUAUGAAACGCACUACAUGUGUAUGUAGAUGGCAGCGCCGCUGCGCCAAGUUCGGACCGCGUUUGGCAAGAAAUGUUUGCAAGGUCGCUCAGGGCAAUUUUAUGGUAGUUAAAAUCUGACCCAGCAGAUGAUUUUGCAUCGAGCUUUUGGACAGAAGCUCUUUUUCGCGAUAACGACAGUCUUCCCAGUGCUGGCACUGCCGAGAGGCGGCAGGAGGCAUCGCGCGACUCAUCUGAUGCACCACAUGUGCCACUGAAAAGGUACGCAACAGCAGAAGCGUAUGGAAGCUGACGGCUCACAUCCUGGCGCCAAACGCGAGCACUGCGAUUCUGUCUACCCAGCUUGUGGAAGCGUAACAAAAUGAGUUCAAGUACAUAGUGGACUGGGCCCGGAAGGUUCGUCCGGCCACCGGCUUGCGCGCAAGCGAGCGCUACUUGGCAGAGAAACAUUGCCAUAUACCCUUGACAUGAGCCGUUCUACUGUAAAAAACCGUUUUCGCUAUUAGGUUGGAGGCUAGCUCCUUCGUCGGCUCCGCGAGCUCGGACGCCGGCUUGCGCGACGUGCCACGUAGCGGGGCAAGUCUCAGAGCUCCUAACGCGCUUCAGCCUGCCCUGUAUGGUUUGAAGCACAUACGCUUAAUAUGACGGACAGCAGCAGUCGAUGUGCGACCAACCGUGUUGCAAGUUGCGCCGCUCUGCGGGCCCUUCCCCUCCAUUGCCUGGUUGUAAAUGCUCCUCGCUUCGACGGCCGCGCCCUCACAGAUACAUGAAUGAGCCUACCUCCUCAACGGCUGCUGGCAUGCUGGCCGCGGAGGCUCCUGCAGCGGAGACGGCCGCUGUGGCGCAGGUGCGGCGUAAGCAGCGUGGGGAAAGCGGUGUAGGGCGAGGUGUGGCUUGGGAGAAGGAAGAUGCCGCGUGCCGCAACAGCUGCGUGCAGGGUACGUGUGCUGCUGGCUGCAUGCGCAAUGGGUUGCUGCAUUGAGCAGCCCAUGGCUUCCAUCACCUCACGUCCACCCUGCUGAACAUGUGCUGACGGGUGGGUCGAAGGGCCCUUCAACACACGCUCCACUCCGCUCGACCACCCACGCUCCACCCCCAAUCCACCCACACCAACCCCACGCCACCCUACUCACCCCCACGCCACCCAUCCCCCAAACCCCCAACCCCACAGCUGGACGGCCUCCAGCUCAUUGCUGCGGGCGCCGCCUCCCGCAGCCUGGUGUUCCGGGGCACAAGCGGCGGCCGCCGCGUGUGCGUCAAGUACAGCGCCGCACGGGAGGCGGAGGGCCUGGCGGCGCCCGCAGCCGCGGGGCUGUUGGGCCCGGUGCUGAUCCACCCCCACGUGAUCCGCACCUUUGGCUGGCACAUCACGCGCCUCACGGAUGCGGAUUUCCAGGAGUCUUCAAAGCUCGCUGGCGAGGCCGGGGCGGCGGCUGGCGCUGGCGCUGGGGCGGGGGCGGGGGCGGGGGCGGCUGGCGCUGGCGCUAGCGCGGGGGCGGCUGGGGCUGGCGCUAGCGCGGGGGCGGCACAGCCCGACAUAGAGGACCGGUUGAGACAGCCUCAGCAGCUGUUGCCGCAUGAACCACAGCUGCAGCAGCAGCCCGGUGCAGGUGAUGCGGAGGAGGCGCGGUCUGCGCCGCCACUGCGCGGCCGCAGGGGCCGGGGUCUGCUAGCGGCGCUCUGUUUCUGUCUGGAGCCCAGCCAACUCCCUGACCAGGAACAAGAGGCUGAGGCGAACACCCGCCGUCUCCAAGCAGCGGCGGCCGCGGCCGCGGCCGCUGCGCACCCGGACGACGCCAACAGCCACGACGGUGCCAGCGGCGUCGGGUCUGGCGAGGGCGGCGCGGCUGAGCUGGACGGCUGCCCGCCGGCCGCGCUGGAGGCGGGCUGGGGGCGGCUGCGCGCCAUCUUGCGGCGCCUGGACGCGCGGCCCGGCGACUACCUCACCCGCAUUGUGAUGGAGGACGCAGACCUGGGCUCUCUGGCGGGAGCCAUACGCAACACCACAGCCGCCACAACCGCCACAGGCGGCGCGGCCGCACCCGCUGGCGCCGCGCCCAGUGGAAGCUUGGGAGCAACAGUGGGAGGUGGUGGUAGCGCAGGCGGAGGUGGCGGCGGCGGCGGUGUCUCCGUGGGUAUGGUGCGGCGCAGCGCCACCGGUGGUGCUGCGGGCAUGGCCCCCGGCACGCCUCGCUCCUCGUUUUCGAUGGCGCUGCUGCAAAUGUCAUCGGCGUCCUUCCAGCUCCCGCACUCGCACUCGCAGCAGCUGAGCCGGGCGCUUCCAGGGCCGUUGUUCUGCGGCGACGCCGACGGCGGCGAGGGGCUGCAGUGGCUGCUGAUGACGGCGCUGGACAUCGCCGCAGGCAUGCUGCACCUGCACUCACACCAAGUCAUUCACGGUACGGAGGAGGUGGUGGCAAGACAGGACUGCUCGCUAGCGGUAGAUACAUCGAGGUUGCGCCCUCUUUGGGGAGGGCCGUGCGUGGGCUAAGGGAUGGGCUAUGGGGUGGGCUUUGGGGUGGGCCUUGGUUGGGCCUUGGGUCGGCUUUGGGUGUGCCUGGGGGGCUUGGAGGUGCUCCGAGGGCCGCCGGGGUUGGGCUGCUGCGAACCGAGCAACAAACACGUGCCCGCGCGCUCUCCCGCUCAGCCCCUCCCAUCAACCUGCUUGGCUCCCGGUGUCGGUGUCCCUGCCAGGUGACCUCAAGCCCGGCAAUGUGCUACUUGUGAGCGACCCGCAUGACGUGCGCGGCUUUGUGGCCAAGGUGCGUGCAGCUGCGUACAUUACGACCUUAUGGGUAGUUGCGCUGGUGUGCCCGUAUGUAUGUUUAGAAGAGCCCGCCUCGAAACGCAUCUAUAAGUUCAGCCAUGAGUACCGCUCCAAGCGCCCUGCGCAGCCCGCGCUUUUUUCCCGUCUGGCCCCGCUGCCCACGCUGCCUCAUCCUAACACCAUUGUACGCCCAUACCCCGCGCCCAUAAACCCCAAAACUCCAUCCAAACAGAUCACUGAUUUCGGUCUGUCGCGGUUGGUGGGCCACGAACCCUCCCUGGACAACCACGACCUUUACGGCACGGUGAGCGAAUGCCCCUAUGCCCUCUUUGUGCUCUUACACAUGUCACGCUGGGUUUUCAUCAGGUGGAUUGCUGGCGUGCCUGCGGCCGUUAUGGGUCGCUUGUCAUUGCGCGCUGCUGCAAAUGCGCCGUUCGGCUGCACGCAUGCACACAACAACAACUGUAACAGCACACAUGCACAUGCACAUGCGCACACGUGCAGGUGCGCUACAUGGCCCCCGAGGUCAUUGACGGCCGCAGCUACAAGUCCAGCGACGUGUGGAGCUACGGCGUGGUGGUGUGGCAGAUGGUGACAGGCGAGGUGCCCUGGCCCGGCCUGCGCAGCAUGCAGGUCAUGAUGGGCGUCCUGCAUGUGAGUCCGCAUGAACACAUACAUGCACCUGCAUGCAAACAUGCACGUGCAUGUGCACUUGACGGGCCGCGUUACGCGUGCGGCAAUCCGGCGUUGCUCCGGUGGUGAUCGUGCAGUGCGUACCACUCCACAGACUUUCUGUGCGGGCGGUGACAAUGGCGCGCCUCCAGAUGCCGCGAUUGCCUUCACCCCUGUGCCGCAUUUCCUUUCAAACGCCUGACACGUACGGAAUAUGCGUGUGUCUGACGCACGCGCUGCCGCUGCAGGGCGAGCUGCGCCUGUCGCUGCCGCCGCGCACGCACCCGCGUCUGGCGGCGCUGCUGGAGGCGUGCCUGGACCACGACCACAGCCGGCGGCCGGGCUUUGACGAAGUAGCCUGGCAGCUGCAGGUGCGGUGGCGGCAGUGGUAUGUUGCUGCUGAGGGGCGGUGGCAUGGGCGGUGGGUGGGUGGGUGGUGGGAUGAGGUGCGAUUGCAAUAACGAUUGCGGUUGCGAGUGUACAGAGCUAGAGUGAGUGCAACGCUCGCAAAGGCUGCGCGUGCUCACGUGUCUGCGCAACACGCCUCGACCUCACGUGUCCAUGCCAUCCCCGCUUCCGUGCACGAACAGGAAAUGCUGUUGAUGCACGACAUCGCAGUGCUCGGCCCGGGGCCCCUGCUGUCGUUGCCGGCAGGAGAGCUGCCCGGAGAGGCCGGCGACGAGGGCGCAGGCUUCGCCACCGCCACCACCUCCACCACCACCACCACCGGCGCCGCCGCCGCCGCCACCGCCUUGGGCGGGAGGGCUCCACAUGAAGUUGCGGCCACCGUCGAGACUGGUGCUGAUGCAGCUUCCGUGGAGGCAGGCGCCCUCGGGCCGCUGCCUGCACUGCCACCGGCACCGCCGCACCUGCGCCCGCCAGCCUCCGCGCCCCAUGACAGCCCAUGGCUGCGUCUGGCGCCCGCCGCGCCGCCCGUGCCCGCACUGCAGGCCGGUGGCGCAGGUGACGCCGCCGCCGCCUCGCACAGCACGCUGGACGUGGAUGCCGAGGUGCUCGCCGCCGGCGGCGUGCCGGGAUCCACCGCCGUAACCACGGCGGCUACUGGCACCGGCAAUCUCGUCAGCGCGGCGUCAGCUUCUGCUUACAUUGGCGGAGCCAGCGGCAUCUCCGCCGCCAACACGCCCAUAUCGUCGGCGGCGCCGCCAGGCGCUGCCGGCACAGCUUCAAUUCAUGCCGCAAUCCGCGGCGGCGCCAUCCAAACGGGUCCGGUGUCGGCUGACGCCGCCGCCGCGCCGCCGCCGCGCUUGUCGACGGCGCUGGACGCCUCAACUCCGGGCAUGGCCAGCGCCGCCUCUGCAGCUGCAGCCGCCAGGGGCGCCCGCAGCUGCAUCCACGCGUACCAGAGCCAGACGGCGUCGAGCGUGGCGGGCGAGGGCUCGCUGUCGAGUGGCCUGUACGCCUUCGUCAACAUGUUUGCGCGCGAGCUCGCACCGCUACCGCCGCCGGCCACUGCGACAGCCACAGCAGCCACUGCAGCCACUACGGCAGGCGAUGCCGCCGCAGAGGAGCGGCUGCGCUCGCUGGCUGCCUCAGCCGCCCGCGGCGCCCGCGGCUUUGGGGAGGGCCCGGCGCCGCCGAGUGGAUCCUACGCGAUGGACGCCGUCCUGUCCGUCCCACACAGCAGCGGCCCCGGAAGCCGCAGAGCAUCUGCGCACGGUGCCGCGCGGCCGCGGACCGCCACCGGUGUCACUGCCGUCGCGGGCAGCGCCGCCGGGGCUGACGUCACUACAGCGUCGCAGCUGGUGACUGCGGCGGGGGGUCGCGGCCGCGGCGCCCGGGGCUUGUUGUUCGUGGAUUCAGUGCGAGGCGGCGGUGGCGGCGGCGGCAGCGAGGGACGAUCACAGCCGUUCUUCCUGUCUGGUGCGUCUGCGUUCCUAGACGUCCUGCGCAGCCCCAGCCGCAGCCGCCGCGGCGGCGCCGGCGGUGCGGGCCCUGCAGCCGCUGGUUCGCCGGCGCGCACCGGCAGUGCCAGCGGCGCGCCGGGCGGCAUGUCGGUGGCCGCAGCGGCCGCCGCAGCCGCCAGUUCGCCCUCCACAGGCCCGUCUAGCAACAACACCGCAGCGCCAGCCGCACCGGCGCUGGCGCCAACAGCAUCCGCAUCCGCGGCCGGCACUGGUGCUAUGGCCGGCAGCGUUGCCGAGCUGCUGCGCCACGCGGUGCGCGCCAGUCCGCUGCAGCCGCUGCCGCAGCGGCGGACGCACCCGUCCUUGCCGCCAGCCGCUGCCGCCGCCGCCACGGGCCGCACCUCUCGCGACGUGCCGCCCCACCCCGUGCUGCGCGACCUGUACCCCCAGCCGCACCCCGCCCCCGCCGACGGCUCCGGCGCCGUUGCAGUCGACGGCAGCAGCGCAACCGCCUCCCUGACCUGGGACAGCUUGUCACCCUCGCUCCUUGCAGCCUACCUGCCGCAGCCACAACCGCACCCGUACACAAACCAGCACCCGCUGCAACCCUUCGCCGCCGCCGCCAUGCGCCCCCCCUCCGGCGCCGCCUUCCCAGCCUACAUGGGCCCCUCGGCCGCGUCGCUGGCGGCGGCAGGCGGCGCUGGCGGCGGCGGCCGCGCCACCUCUGACGUGGACACAGCCGCAGUGCGGCUGAUGCUCGCGUCCUCGGAGCGCGGCAGUGCCUUUGCCGCGCUGGCCACCGCCGGGCCUCGCGCCGGCCAGGCGCCCCUCUUCCCGCCGAGCCGCGUGCGUGAAGACGGCGGUGCAGCAGCCGGCGGAGGCGCGCCCGCCGCUCGCGCGGCCACCUCUGCGUUCGGCGGCGCUGGGAGCGGCAUUCUCAGCACUGCGGGCAGUGGCGCCAUGCCGCCGGCUGCAGCCGCGGCGUCCGGUUCGGCCUCCGGUUGGAUCGGUACUCCCGCGAGUGGUGCCGCGGCAGGUGCGGGCCGGCCCGUUGGCCCGCCCAGCCUGGGCCUGCGCCUAGCCUCCGGGUCCUCGUCCUCCUCCACCUGCGCCGCAGUCAUACCCUCCACCAGCGUGGCCACGCUGCAAACCGCGCCCUCCUACGCCAGCACCUCUUCCGCCACCAUUGCCAGAGCCGGCUCCUCAACCCCAGCCGUCGGUAGCGCGGCGGCAGCAGCAACGACCGCCCCCGGCACCGGCGGCGGGCCCAACAGCAGCGGCGCGCUGUCGAGUACUGUCAGCAGCAGCAGUGUGCUGGGCCCUCAGCGCAGCACGGCGGGCAGCAGCAGCCUUGGGCGGCCCUAUUUCCCAGGCCCUCGCCGCCAGCAGAGCUGGGGGCAAAGCGCCUGGACCACAGGGGCCGGCGGCGCCGGCGCCGGCGGUUUUACUGGUGGCUUCGGCGGCGGCGGCGGCGGCUGGAUGAUGGGGUCGACGCUGUCCAACGUUCAGCCCACCGCCGCCUUGCCGGGUGCGCCGAGUGGCACCGCCGACCGCACCAGCGGCGGCAGCACGCUGGGCACCUACGGUGGCGGCACCUGGACGCACGGCACCCGCACCCGCAGCACGUUUGACCGCAGCCACAGCGCGCUUGGCGCCUCGGGAGCAGGCCGCGGCUCGUGGGAGCUUGCGCCGCAGCCGUAUGGUGGAAUCGGCGUCGGCGUCGGGGCCGGGGUUAGGGUCGGAGUCGCGACCGUGUCGCCAUACGCGCUCAUGUGCGAGUCGCCUUUGGCGCCCGGCGGUCCCGGCGCCAUGAGUGCGGGUGCGGGUGCCAGCGCCGGCGCGGGUGGCAGUGGCACCGCGGACGGCACAGGCUCGCAGCGCUGGCUGCGUCAGCCGUUGUCGUACCACAUUGUGCCGCAGCCGCCGCUGCUGCGCCCGCCGGCCCCGCCGCCGCAGGCGCUGCUGCAGCAGCACAGUUACCAGCUGCAGCAACAGGCGCAGUACGGGCGACGCAGCGGCAGCGGCCGCAGCUGGGAUCCGCCGCUGCCGCAUUCGUCGUCCUCGGCGCGGCCCACGCCCAGUGGCAGCCUACUCAUGAGUCCAAGAGCGGCGGCGACCGGCGGCGGCAUGAGUGGCGGCGCGGCCGCUGCCGGCACGCGCACCGGCACCGGCACCGGCACAGGCGUGGACGGCAGUGGCUCGGCCUCGGUCUGGGCCGAUGCGGAGGUGCCGUUGGAGCUCCUGGACUGGCGGGCGGUGCAGGUGAGGGCGGGUGGGGCCCAGGCCCGUAGUAUUGGUCUUGGUCGUGGCGUGUGUGUUGUUAAAGAGCACAGUGUGUGUGUGUGUGUGUGUGUGUGUGUGUGUUAUUGUUGCGUGUGUCCGUGCGGUCUGUUUGUGGCAAUAAGCGCUUCCCUUUCAGGCAGAGGGAUAGCAAGCCAUGUACUUCCACCAACGUGCAUGCAUGGUUGCCAACCGUGGUCAUCCACCCUGCAGGAGAAAUUCAAGCGGGAGCUCAGUGUGGUGCGCCCGCCGCCGUUGGAGCCCCUGAGGACGACGGGCCCCGGGCAGCAUCACACCCAGCAACGGCAGGAUGGGCAAGGCGGCGGCAUGGGCACAGUGCGGAGCGUCCUGGGACCAGUCGGCGGCGCCACGAGCACUGCGGGUACUGCCACUGCCAGCGGCGAUGGCGGCGGCAGCGGUGCUGGGGGCCUGUCGCCGCUGACUUCCUUGGAGCCGCCUUUCACAUUGGGCGGGUUCAUGGCCAUGCCUUCCACCAGCAUGGACAGCGACCAGCGCACCUCGGCGUUCCUCAGCGCAGGCGGCGGCGGCGGCGGCGCGGGUGGCCCAGCCGCCUGCGGCAGCAACAGCAGCGGCAGCUUACGCCACUCCUCCUUCUGGAGCUCGCAGCUGUCGCACUCGCAGCUGCUCGCCUCCUCCUCGCACGUGCUGCAGCAACAGCAGCAGCAGCAGCAGCAGGCGUCCGCGUCUCUGCAGCAGCUGCCCGCGUCCCUCUUGGUCAUCGGCAACCUGCCGCUGCCACUGCAGGCCGGCGGCGGCGUGCUACUGCCAAUCCGAGAGGAGCGGCCCGCCUCAGCCUCUGCCGGCAGCAACAGCCGGGAGACCUCCGACAGCCGCACCCACAGCCACAGCCAUAUUUACCCGGCUAGUCUGGGCGGCGGCAGCCGCGGAAGUAGCACCAUGGGCCUCGUGGCUGCCUCCGCUGCCGUGGCGGCGGGUGCUACAGCAUCGGGCCAUUUUCCGUUGCGCCGCGGCGGGCGGCGCUACAGCGCCAGCGCGGCUGUAGUGGCGGGCGUUGCAGGCAGCGCCGGCGGUGGCAUUGGUGGUGGUGGUGGCGGCGGCGGUGGCGGCGGCGCAGUCGACAGCGGCGGCCUGACCAGCGGAGGCGGCGUGGGAAGUGCGGUGGAGGUAAUGAGCCUGGACGCGGAGGGAUUGCUGAUUGCUGCGCCGCUGCCAGGCGGCAGCGGCAGCCGUAGCAGGAGCGGCAGCGGCAGCCGCAGCAGGAGUGGCAGCGGCGCCGGGGGCACGGGCAGCAGCAGCCGCGGCUUUGGCAACAGCAGCGGCGCGAGUCACAUGAGUGGCAGUGGCGGCGUCGGUGUUCUCGGUGGCACUGUCCGGGACCCGCACCGCCGCGUGCUUGCCGUCACGCUCCAGCAGCAGCACAGCCAACAGCACCCCCCGGGCGAGCACGCCCACCGCACGCCGGCCGCCGGACACGCCGCACAACACUCGGAGGCACGCGCCGGUCCUAUCGCAGUGGCGGCGGCUGCGGUGCCUGCAGCAGCAGGGGCAGGGGCGCAGCAUGCUGGUCUGACCGGAGCGGAACGAGUGGACUCGGUGGCAAUGGCCCCAGCAGCAGUAGCAGUAGCGGCAGCGGCAACAACGGCGGGCCUGAACUCGGCGGCAGUCCCCGACUAUGACUUGCUCUUCGACCGGCUGCCGGCUUGGCUGGGACCGCUGCCGCCAGUGCAGGCGCAGCCUGUCAUUGCUACGACGGGCGGCGACAUUGCUAUUGCUGCGCCAGCGCCCAGCAUGAGUGUGCGCACAACAGCACCAGGGCCGCACGCAGGUACGGCGGCUGCAGCUGGUGUGUUGGAUGUCGCCGGGAGGCAGUCUCCGGCGGAUGCAAGCGAUGAGGAGCGCACACGCAAGAGAUGAUGGACCCGGGGCUGGUGGCCCUCAAGGAUGGGCCCUCACCUCACAAGCUAUUGUGGCAGCGGCAGUGCGCAGAUGUGUGCUGGGCAGAGUGUGCUUGGAGCAUGCGCAAAACCAGGAAUCCCUUAGGGCCUUAGGGCAUCGCUGUUGCGUUGUGGCGCACAUGCCGCGCCCGUGCCGCAGACGGCAUGUGCCAAGGGACCGGCUCACCGGCCUCAGCGGCGGCACCUUGUGAAGCAUGGGACCAUCUGGCCGACAGUCCCGAUAUGUGUGUUUGUGCGCGAGUGGGGGCGCAUACUUCACUUGCGCGAACGGAGUAGAGUAGGGCGACAUCGUGGACACUGUGGCCGUGCCCUCCGUCGUCAACACUUGUUGCUAUGACGCAAUCGACAGGCGUUUGCAUAUGGUAACUGUCUCGCACUCACGCAGCACAGUUGCAUGCAGGCGCAGCCACCCGUAGAUGCAAAUGCAGAUUUGAGGACUGAUGAUUUGAGUACUAAUGAUUUGAGACUGAUGAAUUUCUUGGAUUUCCUCCAGGGAUUCACCCAUGGGGUUUAUAACCUGACGCCUGGCUUUCUGCGCUUUCCAUCGGGGAGGCCACUCACUACAGCGCAGGGGUGAAACGUGCCCAACUCCGAGACCAGGAGAAGAUGAAACGACCGCGGAAAUGUACUGAUGAUUUAUGAGGUGAACUAACGAGAUUUAUAAAUAUUAUUAACACGAUUCUAGCGCGCCGCUGCGCGGCAUGCUGACGGGGUCGCGCCAACGACUGGCACGGUUGAGGCAACGCGUUGGGUGCUUGUUGUGAGAGGUUCUGGGGCAUGGGCUAUUUACGGUCGUCGCAUUGUUGCGGUUUCGACAAGCACAUCCAUGUUUGUGACCGCCAAUAAGUACAGGGCCACGAAUUGGGUGAGUAUCCGUCGACGAGGCGAGGCCGCUUCGGCGGCCGAUAGCCCCCAUACACCCGCCACCGACACAAAGUGUCGAAACGCUUAGGGCAAAGGCGGCCCUGUCGCUGGAUGGUGGCUGGCCGCUCUUUGCGGGUGGGUUGCGGCGCCUGGACGAGGGCGGGCUCGAGGGCCCCGCUAACUCCGAGAGGAGAAUUGGAAAAGGCCGCGGUGUCUGUGAACUGCGAACUAAAUGUAUUGGUAAUGCAUGGGCGAUGGCGUGUGCUUAGGCGUGUGCUUUUGCUUGCCAACGUCCCUACACAAGACACACUGCAAAGCGCACCCGACCUGGCGCGGGGGUAUUUGCUUGCCACGGCGGUUGGAAACCUGCGCUGCGCAAAUAAAGAGCCUGUGGUCGAUGUGUCGCAGACAGCUGCGGCGCUGUGAAUGCAGCAUUCCCGGAUUGACGAUGUUUUCUAUUGCACCGGCACGAUGCAUUCUAGUCAAGAAAGCAGAUGUUUCCUUGACGGUAUGCACGUGCAUGCAUACGAUUGCCCGCGGCAAGCACGCGGUUGUUUACAUGCGGGGAGGGGUGUGUGCCAGACGACGAUGUGGUCGUCCCACCACACGCUUCAUGUUCACAAUCACAGUGCGCUAGUGAUGGCUCUGUGGUGUGAUGGCGAAUGUGGCGUGCAUCAAGGGCACACUGCGCACUGUUUGGCGCGCUGUGCGCUCGAGGUCUGUCCACAUUGCGAGCAGGGGUUGCGGGGAUUCUGACUUGCACGGCCUGUUGUUGUUGACUCUACGCCCUGCAUAAUGUUCUGGAAGGGAGUAUUGUUUUGGGCGGGAAUAUGGCUUUCGAGGUGUCUAGAGGGUUGAACUGUAAACUUGGGCGUCCGCAGCAGUGUUGCAGAAUUCAAUCAUAGCCUGCGCUUCACGCAGUAAUCAAGCAGAACGGAAUAGAUCUGGCCUGAUCCUUUUAGCUUGUAGCAGUAAGCCGGGGUGCUGGGGUGCUGGUGACAACAGGCAUCGCAGAACGCGCACGAUGUGCCGUCUGCCAGCAACACAUGCUUCAUAAUUGACGACUAUUCCGCUUGCCGUUUGGGGCAUCUUCAGCAUCUUGGGGUGAAAUUCAGGUGCAAUGAUGCGGUGCAGAUUGUGGGUUGGCGCAAGUUGUUACGCUGCAUUGGCAGCAGGCAACAGGCUGCACAUCUGCUCCAGAUGAUGGCACUGGAGCCGCGAUAGGGUUGUGUGCGUGUUCCCCUGCAGCAGGCCUGGGGUGAAGGGAUCAGCGAAUCACACAUGUAAAGCAAUGCGGUAUGAGAGGGGUAUGAGAGGGUGUGAGAGGGGUAUGAGAGGUACAGGUGUGUGGUUCAUUUGUCCCACAGGGAAUGAAGGAAGCCUGAGCUGGGGGCUCUUUGUACUGAGGUGGUUAUGGGGCGUGCAUGUGUGGCAGCCGUGGUUAUUGCGACCACUGGGCUAGGCUAAGUGCAGGGGCUGGGGCGGGCCGCAGGAGCAGGUUUGGGAGGAGGUUGUAUUGCGCGUCAGGAAUUCCAGAAGAAAUCCAAAUUUGUUUCAUAGCACGCGCGUUUCAUGAUGUGCGUACCCGGGCUUGGGGGAUACUUUUGGGCCUGAGGGUUGUACCUUCCGCUUCUCAGGAGUUAAUAAAGCAACUACCAUACGCACGGCAUUUGCGAGUCCAAUAAACGUGGACGCUGUUUGAACGGCCCUCCGUAGGGGGGACAUCCCGUGAUGGCGGGCUAGUGACGAGGCUGACUUGGCUGCAUGCCUCGUAUCCAGCAAAUGAAUAUGAGUAUAUAUACCGAAGUGUCGGUGAAGCUGUUUCAUAAGUAUCCAAACAUGCACAUUUGAAGUGGAGUUCCGGGUUGACAGUGGUUGAGGCGACAUGCUGCGCGGCUUCCUGGGACCACGGCAGUUGCCUGACGUGCGUGAGGCCGCAUGUCCGGAAGAUGACCCGGGGCACUACUGCCACUCUAUAAGAGCGUUGUGCUUUUUGGGCUGAGUGUUUGGCAUGUGGUAGGGAGGGGGGGUGCCCCUUACUUGGUGCCGUUCACCACGGUUCACCACGGUGCGGAGAGUGAGCCGCCGGGUGCGGUUAGGGCUUAGGGCCGGAGUGCCGGACGCCUGACACGUGCCACCCCAAAGAGUCCUAACGGGCACCGUCAUUUCGCUGAGUGUGGUGUUCGCUGCACCCGGUCCAGGAUAACUGUUUUAGUUUGUUUUGGGCGGAUUUGUGCCGUACUCCCAGCGGGCCAGUGCUGCGAGGAGACGGCGUACUUGAACGGGGGAAUUCCUGACUCAUCGCCUCCGUCGAGGCGUCAUUAGGUAAAAAUAUUACGGUCGGUGUACACUGGCCUGCGGCCCUUAAUGAAGCGUACUUGCGUGUAAGUGUGUAACACAGGCAUGUGCCGUGCUCCGGUCCUCCGAAGUUGGAUGCGCGUACCGCACACAGCAGAGUCCGGUACUGGGGGGUCCGGGGUUGACUAGAUCGCCCUUCCCCCCGCCACCCCCCCUACGACCGGCAACUGGCCCGACGUGACCGCCCAGUGUGCUGCAGCCUGCGCUCUUACAGCCUCAGUCCCUUACGCCCCAGUCGCCGUCAAGUGCGCCUGGUACGUGCCGAGCGCUCAAGUCCUACUUCCAUGCAGAUCUCAUGUCAAGAUUCGCCUGCGAGGCGCCCCGCUGAAGUCAGCCGUGUGCUCAGCCGCAGCCAGUGAGCUCUUAUUUUCAAACGUGUGUAAAGAGAGGCAGUCGGCUCGUCGCUUACGGAAAGCCGCUUGUUGCACUUUUGCAAGCGCGAGACUUUGGCGACUCACUAGACAGGUCUUCCAUCCAUUUUAAUAGUCACAAUACCUCUCCGGGUAUUAUUUAUCCGUCGCAAGUAGGUCAGGAUGCUGUUGUCCGGGCGCUGCAAGCGUGGCCCGUCUCGAUGUGUUCGCGCCGGGGCCUCCUCUGGUUCGAAUCCUCUCAUUCCUCGGCAUGGACAGCCACAGCUAUCAAGCAUGGGACCGUCGCGGCAACAGCUUGCCUCAGCGCCAAAUGCGGCUUUUGCAGAGCUCGAAGCGCUGCCCGCAGAUGAACCAGCUGCUCCGGCUGCGGUUUCCAAAUGCCCAGUCACACAAAUGAAGAGCGCACUUAGCGCAUUUGUGCGUGACUCUGGAGACCAAGUUGCCGAAACCGGAGCGCCAACCGCAACGCGACCAAUUCCUGGGCCAGCACCGCUCAGUCUGGAAGCACUGAAGGUAUAAUACGCAUGCGAGGACGCUGUGUGAGCGUGUUCUUGGACGACGUUGGCCACCGCCUGAGUCACGAUGGACUCCCGCUGGUUCGCGCCCCAAUCUCGGACAGGACGUGAGCGUCAUCUUCUUCGAGGGCUUGCACGUGGCACAGCUCAAAUUCAGCGAGAAGUACGGGCCCGUCUGCCGGUGAGGCUCGCCGCGGCCCGCGCAUCGCUACCCGCUGCGAUCCUCCGACACAUCCGCAACACCCCGUCUCGCCACCCAAGAUAGACCCCGCCAAAGCGCCGGCCGCCAUCGCACGCCUUGACAAACAUUCCGCUUUCCCGCCCUGGUCCCGGUCCCUGCAACCAAUUACCCUUGCAGCUUCGCCAACCCCGCCUCGCUCAACGGCGCCACCAGCUGGGUGUUCAUCAACAGCCCAGAGAACAUCCAGCACGUGUGUGCGACCAACGUGCGCAACUACAGCCGCCGCUACCUCCCCGACAUCUACACGUGAGUCCCAGUAGUUCCGUGCAGGCGAGAUCCAGGGAGAUCCAGCAUGCCGUACUGGGCGCUGGCAGCGGGGCUAUAUGGGAGGGGAGGCGAGGAAGGCCGAAGGGUGCUUAUUGCACUGCUGCCGUGCAUGGGCCCGUGGUAUGGUUCGGGGAGGGGGGGGGGUGCGGGGCAGUGCGGGUGCGGGGUGUGCUGCACGUGGCAGCAUGCGAUGUGUAUGAGGGCUGUGUACGCAUGAGGCUGGGCCACCACAGUACCACACUACCACCGCAUGUGUGUAUGUUCCCUGGUGCCCAUGCAUUGAGCGGUCCGUGUGUGCAUGCAUGCGGGUCUUGUGAUUGUGGCCUUAUGCGUGCCUGCAGGUAUGUGACGCACGGCAAGGGCAUCCUGGGCUCGCAGGUGCGUGCGGUGCACCCGCCGGAUCCAAAAUGCAGCAGCAAUACGGUACUGGAGCCGCGUGCCAGCCGUCAUGCUGCCGUGUCGUGUUUUGCCGAAGUUUCGGUGCGUUGGAGGACGGUCCGGCCGAUGCACGUCCCACUGAGCCAAUCAAACGCAGGCAAUGACCGCACACCUGAACACACGUACGUAACCAACCUCACAGGACGAGUACAAUGCGCGGCACCGGAGGCUGUGCUCGGGCCCCUUCCGCAACAAGUGGCAGCUGCAGCGCUUCUCAUCCGUGGUUGUGGAGCGGUGAGGCCGGGCGGCUGCCGGCGUGUGUGUGGGGUGGGGGUAAGCGGGUACGGAUACGGUGGUGUCGUGCUUGGGUUACGGGCGGAUGUGGUCGUGCGUGGUCCCUGCUAGGGCGCAGCAGCAUGCACCGCAUGCCGUUUGUGAGGGGUGGGAAGAAAUGAAUACAGCAGGAUCAGGGGGCAGCGCGGGAUGCUUCUGGCACCUUCUGGGGCCAGCGCACAGUGCGCAGGCGUGUACCGGCCAGGCAUACAUCCCGAACAAAUCAACACGACCCGGCUCGGUUAUCUCCGCCACGGCUGGCUACGUGACCGCCGUCGUUCUUCACCACCUGCCGCACACAAUGCAAUGCAACACGGCACACUACACCACAUGACAGUCCAUGGCCUCCUCUCCCUACCUCUCCCAUACAAUGCAACGCGACACGCCGCACGCGCAGGUCCAAGCGGCUGGUCGACAUCUUCAGUGCCGCCGCCGCCGCCGACCCGUCCGGCGCCUUCACCACCGACGUGGCCACCCAGACGCAGCGGCUGACUCUGGACGUGGUGGGGCUGGUGGCGUUCAGUCACGACUUUGCGUGCGUGGAGCAGGUGCAGCGGUGAGAGGGCUGAUGAGAGAGCGUGUGUGUGUAUGCGUGGGAGAGUGUAUGUGUGAAUGUGCCAGCGUGUGUGGCCGCGUGUGUGCCUGUGUGUGACUCGCACACAUGGCAGGCUGGGGGCUGUUGGCUGGAGGUUUGAGGCUUGAGGCUUGAGGCUGGGGGCUGGAGGUUGGAGGCGCGAGGCUGGGGGCUUGGGGCUGCGGGUUGGCGGGUACAUCCUGCACGGCUCAGAGGCGGGUCAGCACGCAGGCCUUCUCUAUGCUUUCGCGUCACCAGUCACCGCCAAACCAGCUCACCCUCACCUGUCCACAAACAGCCACAGCUCCAUGAUGAUGGAGCGGCGGCACUCGUUCUUCCAUUGUGUUGGGGUGGCGGCACUCGGUCCUCCCCAUUCGUCUCUACCGUAUUCGUCUCUAUUCAUACAUGUGUCACAUCGGUUCGUCUCUACUCGUCCCCUCUAAGUACAUCACAUCUGGUCCACUGCCCGGCCGCCGCGCAGGGACCUGGCGGGCGCCACCGCGGGCGACGGGCGCAGCGGCGUGCUGCAGGACCGCGUGCUGUGGGCCGUCAACACCUUUGGCGAGGUGCUGGCGCAGGUCUUCAUCACGCCGCUGCCGCUGCUCAAGGUGGGCGGGUUGGUGGGGGCGGGGGUGGUGAGGGCGGGGGUGGUGAGGGUUUAAGCCACCAGUCGGGACAGGGCACAAGGGCGGAGAAAGGCAGCGGUUCUACGUCGCCACCACGCAAUCUUGACAUGCACGGAUAGCCGCCUCCUCCCGCGUCCCUCGCCCUCACCCUCCCUCACCCUCCCUCACCCUCCCUCACCAUCCCUCACCAUCGCUCACCACCCCUCACCCGCCCACACCUCUUACACAGGCCAUGGACCGGCUGGGUGCGCCCCACCUGCGGCAGCUGGGCGAGGCGGUGUCCGUCAUGCGGGCGGCCAUGCUGGACGUGAUCGCGGUGGGAGGGGGGGCAGCAGCAGUGGUGGCAGGAGGGAGGCGGAAGGAGGGAGGGCGAGGGAUGGGCGGAGGGGGAGGAAGGGAGGGAGGAGGGAACCAAUCAUCAGUGGAGGGAGGAGAGGGAGGGUCAGGGUCGUGCAGAUUACACCGCGGGGGCUUCCAGGGGCGUGCCAAGAUUGUGUAUCGUGCCGCGCUGCUUGUGGGUCACCCACCACCUGCCCCAUCUGCCAGCCUACCGACACGCCCUAUACCUAGCCCAGGCACAACGUCUCGUCAGUCGCACCCCCUGCGAUGGGUUGCGCCCACGACCUCACACGCUGUCGUUGUCGCUGCCGUGGUGCCAUGCUGUACUGCAGGAGCGGCGUGCCUCGCUGGCCGCGGGCGGGCGGGGCCGUGACGACCUGCUGCAGGCGCUGCUCACGGUGGGAGAGGGGGGAGGUGUGGGGGCGGCCGUGUGUGCGUGCGCGGCCGUGGGGUCGACCGUGCAUAUGCGCGUGUGCAUGUGCGUGUUGUGCGUGCGUGCGUGCGUGCGUGCGGAGCGGUUGUUUUUGCGGUUGUGUUGUCGGUUGCGGGUGCUGGGGUGGACGAGUGCUCCAAAGUUUCGCUGUUUUCCUGUGUGCUCUCCCAGCAAAGAUAUGCACGUGUGUUCCGAUUCCGCGCGGUUCCUCCCUCUCCCUCACGCACAGGACCGCACACGCAUACACAUUUACGCACGUUGACGCAUAUGUUCACAUGCACGCUGCCACAUACACGCACACACACACACACACACACACACACACACACACACACACACACACACACACACACACACACACACACGCACAGGCCACGGAGGAUGACGGCCGGGGCCUGAGCGAUGAGGAGCUGUGGGAGGACGUGCACGACAUCAUGGGGGCGGGGCACGAGACCACCGCCACCACCACCGCCGCGCUGCUGUACUGCAUCAGCGCCCACCCGCAUGUGCGCCAGCGGCUGGAGGAGGAGCUGGAUGCCGUGCUGGCGGGUGGGGUGUGGGCGGGGAGCGGGUGGGCGGGCCGGCAGGGGAGUGCACAAGGAGGGGGCGGGGGGGGGGGGUGCCUGAGAACGGUACGUGCGACGCGACGGACCCAGUGUCAUCCUGCCGCUUCCCACCCACCCCCCGGCUUCGUCAGCUCCGCUGCGCUGCUUAUCCUCCUGGCUCCCCCCCCAGCAACGCACCCACCCUGACUCCACUAUGUUCGUGUGUGCGUGUGUGUGUGUGUGUGUGUGUGUGUGUGUGUGUGUGUGUGUGUAUGGGCACGCAGACGGCGAGGCGCCCACCUACGAGUCGCUGGAGCGCAUGCCCUACCUGCAGGUGGGUGGGGCCGCGUGCCGGGGCGGGUGCGGAUGCGGCUACGGGUGCGCGGGGGUGGGCUGCCGGGGUCUGAUGCGGGGCAGAGGGGGACGGGGCAGACCGCUGCGGGCGCGCCUGCAGGUGCAGCUGACGGUUCGGGUGCGGGUGCGGGGUCGGUGAAGGUCUGCUGUGUGCUGUAAUACCAACUGCUGAGCGCACCCGUGCCGACCUGCGAGCCCGCAUGCCUGCGUGCGCCCUUGCGCUGUUGCCUGGGCCGCUGUUGUCUGUUCCCAAUCGCAUGGAGCGCGCAAUCUCUGCCUCUCUCUGCCAACGCCAACGCCAACGUACUUGCACACACGCCCCCCCCCCAUUCAUGUUCCGCACGAUGGUCCACCGUCUACCACUUCCUUAAGUAAUUUUGAAUGUAACCCCCCCGCCCACAGGCCUGUGCCAAGGAGGUGAUGCGCCUGUACCCGGCCAUCCCCGUGUUCCCGCGCGAGGCCGCCCGGCCCGACGUGCUGCCCACCGGCCACGGCGUGGCGGCGGGCGACGUCGUGUUCAUGAGCAGCUACGCGCUGGGGCGCAGCGAGGCGGUGUGGGGGCCGGACGUGCUGGAGUUUGACCCGGACAGGUGAGGUCAGGGGAGGAGAGGAAGUGUGGGGUGGGGAGGGGAGCACGGGAGGUGAGUUAGGAAGGCGUGCGUGCGUGGCCUUGGGUGGUGCAUGCGAUGCCCCGGUGGGGGUGGGGGGAUGCGCGAUGGACUGAACGCACCGGGCGCACUUGGCCGGCCGUCGGUCCCUCUCUUGCCUUGUUGACGCACAACACACACACACACACACACAUACACACACACACAUACACACACACACACACACACACACACACACACACGCACCCACGCACGCACGCACGCGCAGGUUCUCUCCCGAGCGCGAGGCGCGGCAGCACCGCUUCCAGUGGCUGCCCUUCGGCGCCGGGCCGCGCAUGUGCCUGGGCGCGUCGUUCGCACAGGUGGGUGGGCGCAAGGCAGGGUGCGGCGCGGCGCGGCCUGAGGGGCUGGGAAGGUAUGGGCUAGGUGGAUGGGGGUAAGCGGCACGGAGUACGAAUGAAUCCACGACUUGCUGCCUGCAUCCAACGCGCAGCACGCGCGGUAAGCCAACGGCCGCAUCUCCAAGCAACCCACAUUUUGCUCCCUCCCUCCCUCCCUCGCUCCCUCGCUCCCUCCCGGCUCGCAGAUGUCUGUGGCGCUCAUGGCGGCUACGCUGCUGCAGCGCUUCCGCUUCACGCCGCUGGCGCCCUGCUCCCCGCUCAUCCCGGUGGGCUACGACAUCACCAUGAACUUCGGACCCUCGGGCGGCCUGCGCAUGCGCGUGGCGCCCAGGCAGCGCGGGCAGCAGCAGUAGCUGAUGGCAGCAGCGGCAGUAGCAAGGAGCGGCGGUAGCCGCAGGAGCGGGCAGCGACAAUAGCAGGAGGCAGGCGUAGCCAGCAGGCAGCAGGCGGCCAGCCGCGGCGGCUGUAGCAGGACCGGCCGCGGCGGUGAAGCCGUGGCGGCUAGGGUAGGAGCGUUUGGUGGGCAUGGUGUGCGAGGCCAUCGGGCCACGGCUUGAAGGAAGCGGUGUGGGGCAAGGGCUAUACUGGGCCGAAAAGAAAUGGGGGACUGUUGCAACUGGAGCAAAUCCCUGCAGGGACAGCCCGCCCGUACAAGAGAGAAGAAACACGUGUGCUCAACUGCGUACGUACUUGUAUGUCAUGUGCUGUGCUUGUCGUAUGUUCGAUGAUGGUUGAUAUGGGGGCGCUGAGCUGCUGUUUAAACCACAAUGGUCACACGCACACAACACGGAUGUCAUGCCUCAUAAACAACACCGGUCUAGCUGUACGGUAGUAGUGUCAGCAUGAGGUCAAGUGCCAUCCGUGUUUGUCGCUUGUUCCUGUCUUAUGUUAUGUGGAAAAUGUACAAUGACGCAGGGAAUCACUUUUCCUCGCGUGUGCCUUGGCGCACAUCAGAUGCAGCGCAUUGUGGAGGAUGGAGAGGAAGAAAUACUGUACGAGCACCACGCGUGAAGCCUGAACUGUGUUGGGGUUUGGACUUAGUCAGCGGUUGUGAGGGCGGUCAUUGCGACAUAGUUGUAGUUGGGAUUUGGAUUGCGUUUGUGCGUUUGGAUUGGGUUGAUUGGAAGGCUCCACGCGAGUUGGCUUGGGCCGGUGAUGCUGGUGAUCAGGUGAUGGGUUUGGAAGCGUGAGGUCGGGAGCCGUACCCACGACAGUCAGCGGUGUUUGGACACAACCUACUGUGCUAACCCCCGCGCACUACAUUUUUGCCGGAUGCGUGAUAUAUUGUGAUCCCCAAAGCAAAAUUGAAGUGGGGACAUCCGGCGCGCUGGAGGCGUUGUGGUCGUAUGGUGAAUUGCGGGCGGCGGGUUCAGGUUGUCGCCCGAGGCUUGACGAUGAAACAAGAUAAGUGCAUAAUGGUGAACCCUGGUAACAUUGCAGGGUAUACGAGACGUGGCGAGGCAGAAUGAGCAGCACUCAGGCUGGCAAUAAUAGGCGCACGACCGCAUGUGACCACACUCGCAGGCAUGCUGGAGAAUGCCCGUCCGUAUUGGCAGAACACACCGAGCCUGUAUUUUGUAGGCGGCGUGGUGGUAACUUGGAUUGGAUGCAGUGGGGCAGAACUGGUUUGUACAGAGCUAAUGGCCGUACGGACAUGAAUCGCAGCAAGAAAAGUGGCUCUCCCGCUCAAGGAGAUGGGCAGGGAUCGUGAGCAAUUACGGACGUGCGGAUAGAUAGUGUGGACGUGCAGUUCGUUUGGUGGUGGACAGGCGCUGUCCCUAGUGAGUGAGUUCGUGAUUCCGUGUUGCCUUGCCUUGCAAGAGCAGCAGCAGCCGGCGGAGGAGGCGGGCAGGCAUAAGAAUCAGGGCUCCUAUCCAAGUGCCAGACCCCAUGCCCCAAAAUCCCGGCCGGGACCCCCCCUGAGAGGAUGACCGACCCCCCCCCCCCCCACAGACAAAACCUUGUUGUUUAGUGGUUAAAUCCCUCAAUGUAAUACCAAAGUGGUGCCACCAUUGACUCUUGAGCGCUAUCACGCUGUGCCAUUGGCGGUCCUGUCCUGAGACUUCAGCCAUACCCAGCGGGACUUCACCAACCUGCCUUGACACUGUCCCAUCGCACGCCCACGCGCCAGCCCCAAAUCCACCUCCGCCGCCCACCGCGGGCGCCCCCCGCCUGCUCCCCAUCCGCAUCGAGGUCUCGACGCUCACGGCCGAUACUAUAUGUGGACGCCCGGCGUCCUCCGCACGGUGCUGCGCGCCCUGCUUGCGCAUGCCUACACCUCCUACCGCGGCCAGCCCUACCUGCAAAUUCGCGGCGUCGCCAUGGGCGCCAACUUCGCUUCGUACGUUGCCAACCUGGUCCUUGCCUAUGAUGAGUUGCGCUGGCAGCGCGCACUCUACACCCGCGUCUUCAUGCCCUCCGCCAGCUCCUUGUGCGCGGAAGCUUCCCUCGCCCUUGAUGUGCUACUGGCGUUCCAAGAUACCCAGCGGUACACCGACGACCUCCUCGGCUGCUGCAACCCCUUCCUUCCCCACCUGCUGCUGCAAUCCCAAUCGCUUGCCGGCAUCCCUGGCAUCUACUCCACCGACCUCACCUUGGCGGCCUCCGGCGCCACACCCGCCGCCGGCGUCGCCACGCCUUACCUCAACUUCGCCAUCACCCCCCACAGCAGCAACAUCUACGGGCACGUCGUGUACGACCUACAGCCGUACGACAAACGCGACAGCCCCAAGUUUGCGCAGCUCGGCAUCUCCCGCUUCACCCCGUUCUACUCCUGCAUCCCCCGGCACGUGCGCUUCAACGUUGUCAUCGGCGCCCUCGUCACCCUUGCGCGGCUCUGCACCACCCUCGGCACCUUCAUCACGUCAGCACGGCGCACGCUGCGGCGGCUGCAUCUGCGCGCCUACCCGCGCCCCUUCCUCCGCAAGGCCCUCAUGCGCUUCUAUGGUCAGCAUCGCCAACUGCUGCCGGGUACCAUGACCUCACGCGGGCUCCUCAGCCUCCUGCCGCCCCCGGAUCUGCCCCCUCCUCCGCCGGCGGCCCCGCCGCCGCCUCCCCCUCCGGCCCCCGCGCCACCAGUCGCCGCCGCCGUCGUCCUGCCGGCCCUGCCCGCACCACCGCUUUCCUUCCCUCCUGCUGGCCACGCGGCCUGGUACCACGGCGACAACAACAUCGGCUCAGGCGACGACAUGUCCAUCUCCUCUGACAGCGGCAGCGAUAUGUCCAUCUGUUAGCAGCAGCCCCAGAUGUGACGCAGCAGCGUCAGCCUCAGCCAGCACGACAGCCGUGGAGCGGCGACCUGGGCGACGGUAGCGGCGGUACCGAGCGGUGCGGUGGCUUGUAGUAGGUGUUUGGGGGGUGGGGCGCCGGUCCCGGCUGCCCUGAACCGCUCUGCGGUGCGGGGACGGCCGUGCCGGUGUUCCCGUGCUGGGCUUCUGGUUUCCAGUUUUACGGUAGGGACACAGGUCGGUGCUAAGUUUGGGGCUUGGCGCGCGUGUGGGCUUUUUCCUUGUCGGUUCGGCGCGGGUCGGGUUCUUGGGUUUGCGUUAGGGGCGCUGGUUUUCGGGAGUGUGCUGUCCCGCCGGCCGUGUGUGGGGCGUGCGGUGCGUGAUCGCCGGCUUCUCGGCCGUCUUGUGGGUUGUGUGUGCGCGUGUGAGUGCCUGUUUGCGGCGGGCGCGUGUUGGCUGCGUAGGCGGGCUCCUUGGCGGGCUUUUCGUCCUGGCUGUGUUUUGCCCUGUGUGUGUGCGCGUGUCCCCUCUCCGCGCUCCCGUGCCGCAGGGCUGCUGGUUUUAAGACGCCGCCUCCUGUCUUGCCACCGGGGAGCUCUUCGUGAGCCCGGGCCCCAUCCAGCCACGUACCCAAGUACCCACCUACGUACCAGCCCCAGCGCUGCCAGCCUCUGCAGCCACCCAGCGUCCCAUGCCAGCUGUCCCGUGCCUCUCCCCAGCUGUCCCGUGCCUCUCCCCAGCUGUCCCACCCCAGCAGUCCCACAUCCGCUGUCCCCUCCCAGCUGUCCCUCCCAGCUGUCCCUUCCAGUAGUCCCUUCCAGUUGUCCCUUCCAGCUGUCCCACACCAACUGUCCCACCCCAGCUGUCCCUUCGGCUCCCUUCUCAAACGCAGCUUCAGCAAAAUCUACAGCCUGCCCGACUCCCGGCGUGUGCGGCCUUCCGCCCGCCUUCCAAAACGCAACAGCCCCCGCCUCUCCUCGCCAGCCGCUCACAGCCGAAACUCUGCUUCUUUCUUUAUCAGCCACAAACAUCAGCCACAAACAAUGCCUCGGAAACAACGCCUCGGAAACUUCCUCCCAACUAGUGCGCGGCCACAGCUCCCCUACCGUCGCAGCACCUAUCCUCACCAUCAGCAACGCUUCCUCACCUCCGGUUGUGUUGUUGGCGUGUUGCACCGCAUUCGGCCUGCCCGCCACAAUUGUCGUACACAUUCGGGCCCCUCUUCUGCUUUGCUUCGCCUUGUUCUUGCCCCUGUUUGUCACACUGUCGCCCGGCCAUUGUUUUGCUGCACGCCGUUGCAUUACGCUAGUGCUCGUCUACACAGCUCAUCCGUGGACGCCGGUCGACUGCCUGCAGGUGCGCAUCGGCUAUACUAUCCGCGCGGUGUGGCGUCGCAUUGAGUCUGUGUGGUGCUAUCGCCUUGGCCGGGCGCCCGGAGCGUGAGGAAUGCGCGUCAGCAAAACAUCGACACAACCUGCCAGCUACCGUCGGUACAGUAACAGCGCGCGAACGACGCACCAAUGCCUUGUCCCUUCUUGCUACGCAUUUAUGUGGGCACGGGUGGGAGCCACACACAUCGGGACUACGCUUUCCUGCCCCUUGCCAUGUUCCAUCACGAUCGCACGCCCACGCGGGAUCCUAUCCAAGGAAAUCCCCUCGACCCAGCCCACACCGCGCACAUCUCUCUUCAGGGCUCCUAUCUUAAUGUCUCCAGACAUUAAUUGGCCAUUUUGGCCGUUUCCUAGACAUUCCUCCCGGGGACUAAUGUCUGAGGCAAGACAUUGUUGGCCCGGUUUUGGGGCGGGUUUUGUCCUAAUUCCUUUGGAGAAGCCCCCCAACCGCCAUGUGCCCAGACAAAAGACGGCGGCCACCCGGCCGUUUUUGUCUGAGCCUAGACAUUGCUCUGAAAACAAGAUGCGACCCCUGAUAAGAAUUGAGGAACCGAGGUUACAGACCGCUUUGGUCCCUGCACGUCCACGACCAUUGCAGCAUCGAAUGAUCAGAGCAUCGGACCAUCAGACGCCGUCAGCUCCUCCUGAGUCGUGCUGCCCAGAUGCGUGGAAAGUGGAACCUCUUACCCGGCCGCGCGGCCAAGCGCCGAAGCGCGCGGCUCCAGAGCCACAGACAAGGCACAUUUAACAAAGUCAGCCCCUUAGGCAACGUUCACCAUGGUGGCACCAUCACACGAACCCGCCCGUUAACCGCCCUCACACCCCACCUACUCCUACAUGCCCGCGGCCUUUAUCUCUUCUCCUGGUUAAAUUGGGGCCGUAAUUCUAAAAAUACAUUGCGGUAGAGUUGUUUAAAGUUUGGCAGCUAGGUUUGCCGCUGCCGGCUGCACUCUUAUGGCCAUAGCAAGCGCACCGAUGCAGUGCCGCCAUGCCGCAAACACCACUGAACAUCAGCAACCUGAAAUUUUUUUACAAGGCAACUGAAAGCUCCAGAUAAUAUAGCUCCUUCAAAGUCCGCCCUACCUUGUCGUCAAAAGAGCGUGCAUUGAAGGGGUCCUAACGUCCGCCCUCCACCCAAACGUCCGCCCUCCGCACACGGCGGUUGGCGGUUGUGGAGGGUUCGCUUGUAAACGUUUGCGGUAUCUCAAUGCACCUGGGUGAGCUGCAUUAAUACUCGACGGAAAUAAAUGUCAGGUUCACUCAGCACGUGACUUCCGGUCAGGCAGUGCCUUUCUUGCGUCACAAUCCCCUUGCAAUUUAUUCCGCCCUGCAUUUAACAAUGCUACGUGCCUAGAAAUGCACGCCCAAAUUGUCCGUAUGCGAAUCAGCUCCUUGGCUGUAAGCAAGCACCACGAACUGCUCUGGCGGAGCGCAUGCAAACCCACCGCGGUACUAAGCUUUUCCUUGAACAGCUUCAUUCUUCUGCCGCUCAGGCCACACACUGGCCGAAACGAAGUUGCAGAGCUGACAUAAUCACUUGCGCCUUGCAGACCCAGCACGGAUAGGCAUCCAUAAGUGCACCCGAGUGCAAUGCACCGCCCGUGCCGCGCAUCCACAUUGGCAUCACUCACUCAUUUCACAGUACGGUACCUUAGUCAUCGGUUGUAGCCGCUUAAAACAGCUGCAUUGAUCACUGCUAAUAUGAAUGGGUCAAAACGCUCUCGCAGCGUACGGUAGGGUUGUUUCCUUGAACGUAAAAAGUUGGCACAAUGCAGUUGUCCCGCAACCAAUAAUAUAAUAAGCAGUACACACUCCAUAUCGGAAUAGAGCAUGCAUGGAUCUGCAUGGCCCUAUACUUUACUUGACAUGGCUAAGCCCCGCCCGGGCAAGGGUCACGGACCACUGAGACUGAGCACACGCAAGUGGUCCCCAAGCGGUGCAACUUAUUUUGCGGACCGGGCCUCUUCCCGUCAGGCCACAUUGUCGGCGCUGGCCCGCUUCCCAGAUUUGAAGUUGGUGCUUGCCUGCCUGUGACCGUGGAGGUGGGCAGCAGCAGUGAAAGCGUCACAUAGUUGCUGGGGGACCGCAGCCUCUGGAUUGCGCGGAGGCCCAUGCAUAAGACCAUGUGCGGCACGCACUCAGGGCGCCUACACAAGGCAAGCUGCAAACACAAAGACACACACCUGAGACAUUGAUCCUGCCCAAACUUACUUGAUAAUGGCCUUCCACUUGUUGGUGGCGUCUGCGCCCUGGUCGCCCUGGCCAGCAGGACCACCGCCAUUGUUUCCACCAGCCCCAAAGAGGCCGCCGCCGCCCCCACCACCGCCAGGCCCUGCUCCGGACGGGGCGCCUGAGCCCGCGCCGCCCGCAUUGCCGGCCGCCGGCGCGCCCGCGCCCAGCGCCCGGCCCACCAGCUUCUCGACGUCCAGCUCCAAUGGCAGCUGACUCAUCAGCUCCGCGAUGCGCCGCCGCUGUGGGUGUGGAUGCAUUUGAGGGGGCGGCGGCGGGCGGGCGGGUGAGGUGUGGGCGCAUGUCAGCGGAGGACGCGCGUGGAUAUGCAUACCGUCCAUUGACACUGUGCGGUUGGUGCAUCAUUCGGCGCGCCUCAGCCUCUACCCCUCAAAGCAACAUGCAACGUACCUCCUUCGACACGCGCUUGAGGAGAGGGUUCAGCAAGAUGAACAGAAAGCCCGCGAAGAUGACCCACAGCAUCAGGAACAGGAUGAUGUGAAGGAGCAGGAUUCCUGGUUUGAGGAAGUGCAGAGGCAAGCGGCGGGCUGGUGUUAGGAAGCAGUCAUCCGGGUUCAGGACGCAACGACACGAACAGCAGUGGGACACACAACGCCUACUGCAAUCAAUGGGCAACACAACACUCACUGUCGAACAGCGCGACAAUGAUGUUGUAGUGCUCCUCUUUGAUCUCCAGGAUGGCGCCAAUCAUGUCCUGCAGGCGUGUGCGUGAACACAUCAGCCAGAAGUCAAGCACAGCAGCCAUGUGUUCACAUGUGUGCGUGUGCGUGUGUGUGUGUGUGCGCGCGCGUGUGCGUGUGUGUGUGUGUGUGUGUGUGUGUGUGUGUGUGUGUGUGUGUGUGACGGAGAGAUAUUGUGCGUGUGUGUGUGUGAAAGAGAGAGUGUCCUUGUGUGUGCACAGCUCACCGGCAGCACUCAAAAGAGGGUGGCUGGGCAACCCCACAUGCCGCUGCCCUCCCAUGUUGUCGUGUGCGCACAACAUGCCAACGUACCCAUUCACACGCCCGCCUGCCCCUGCCCCGCCCCCCCCCCACUCUCACACACAUCAGGUUUCCUUCCCUGCCCUAACCCAUCGCAUGCACAUGCCGGACCUUUCCCCUUGUGCGUUUUCAACACACACAUGCGCGCGCCGUACCUUGUAGCCCACGUUGUAGAUGUAGUCGAAGUUGGGGCUGGCCAGGCCCUGGGGCAGGCCCGUGGAGUUGAAGGCCAUGGACUCCAGGCUCCGCAGGAACUGCUGCAUCUGCAGUGCAAUGCAGAUGAGUGGCAACAAGGUAGGGCGUUUGGUGUGUAUGAGCUUGAAUAUGGGGGUGUGUGGGUAUCGGUGUCGUGCUGGUCUGCGGCGUGCAGGCCAUCCAGCAGUAGGAACCGGCGGCGAUGGCCCGGUGCGUGCUUGGGUCUUGCAUGUGUGCAGACGUGCGUGCGUGCCGCAUGAGCAGGUGGCGUUGCACAGCGGCAAGGAAGGCAGCAUGGGCCAGCCACGUCAGACUGCCGCUGGGGGCCGAUGACACCCUCAACCGGCUCGCUGCUGACGUAGCUCACCAUGGUGUCAAAGCCGGUGUGGGAGAUCUCAUAGUAGCGGUACUCGGGGCCGGGGCAGGGCAGGUAUUCCUGUGCGCGCCAGAAGCGGGAGCAUGGCGGCGAGGGGAGGACAUGCAGCCAGUCAGGGGCGGGCGUACUCGCACGGGCCCUCAGGCCUGCAGCUGUCCGCGUGCCAGCCGUACGCGUGUCAGCUGUGCAUCACCGCCCGCCAAAUGCAUGCUUGCGUGCAUCGCUGUGCGUACGUGCCAGUGCAGCAAACCCAUACUGUCCUAGUGGUGCAGCAAGGAGCAAGCUGGCUCACCGGGAAUUGGCGGUGGCAGGUGCCGCCACCGUAAAACAGGUCUGCCAGCCUGGGUGACUUGAAAGACAGGCCCUUGGUCACAAGUGGGUAGCGCUCCGUGGCGUUGCCUGCGGCGCCAAUGCCGUUGUGCGAGUGGUUUAGUGCGUUCAUUGGGCGCUUGAGGACUGCAGGAACGCAGGGCUCUCGGAGGCACGCAGCAGCCAGCGGUUCGGCCAUUCAAGGUCAUUCCCCAACCCCCUAGGCCCUUGAGUUCCUGGGUACGGUGCAAAGAACCGCCAUGGACCGUACCUGCAGUGCGGUACGCCUGGUCUCCGAGUUGCAGCGUGUAGAACGCGUCGCGCACCAGCUUGACGCCUGCCUGCAGGGCCAGCUGCUUGGCGGGCACCAGGGCCGGGUCCUCCACAACCGCCAGCUCCUGCGAUCGCGUGAAGUGGGACGCUCAAGGAAGUCAGAAAGUGGUGGACCAAUCCCGAGGCAAGGAGACCAGGAGAAGAGGAAAAGGCCGCGGACAUAUGUAAAUAAAAGUAUGGCGGCUGGUGUUUCCACGGACAUGAAUUCAGCUUGGUACAGCAGGUGAAGAAUUAUCAAGAAUAAUUAUGUAUAUAUGCGCCCAGCUGGCAAGCCUGGAGCGCGACACCCGCACCUGGCUCAGGAACACGUUGCGUGACGUGCGCGCGUUCAUGAAGUUGACCACAGAGUGCACGGCCACAGUGUCCACGACGUCCUGUUGGUGCGGCAGGUUUGCACGAAUCAGCCGUCGUACAUUUAGAUGCGGGCGCGACAAUCCAUGGAACACGGGUAGACAUCCAGCACGGGAGGGGGACUACGUGAACAGUCAACUCACCCGCAUCUCAAUCACCGCCGACGCGUAGAAGGCAAUGACUAACACGCUCCACAUCACGAAGGGCGUCAGCAUGAUGGCGGUGUCGUGCGAGUCGUACUUGAGUGUGCGCUUGGAGCCCGCCUGCUGGCCUGCCGCCGCCAAGGCCUGCUGGCUGCUGGCCGUCCAGCCACGCGGGUUCAGGAUGCUGCCCACACGUGUGCUGGGCAGCGGAGACACGCUGCCAAGGCUCCUGCUCCUGCGACGGUUCAAGGGGAGCAGUAGGACGGAGGUCGUGGGCACAUAAGAAGGGCGACAGCCAGCACUACGUACUGGACCUGUUGUGGCCAUAAGCAUUCCACACUUCGAGCCCCAUGGUAACGCAGCUGCUGGUCCCACCCAGUAGCGAGGCGCCCGGUCAGCCCUUUAGCCCUCCGCAACUCACCGGAACAUCAGCCGCCGCACCCAGCCCCAGCAGCCGCCAGCCGCAGCCCGGCUCCUGCCGCCCGAGCUGAAGGAGCCCGUGUAGGUGCGCUGGUGCGCCAUCACGCCCGACGCGCCGUCGUCGUCGUCGCCCGGCAGCAGCACGUCGCUGCCGCGCACCCCACCACCCCCACCACCAGGCACGCGAGCGCCCUCACGCGGGGAUUCCCACGGCGCAGCAGGCUUCUUGCGGGACCCGCCCUUUUUUCCGCCCGGGGUGUCCGCGCUGGGCGUGACCGCGGCAGCGGAGAAGCCGAGCGUGCGCUUCUGUUUGGCAGCCGGCUUGGCGCCGGCGUCCUCGUUCUCGCCGUCACUGCCGUCAUUGUUGGCCUGCGCGGCGGCGGCCUUGUCGGCCUCCUCAGCGUCCUCAUCCUCGUCGUCGUCCUCCUGUGGGUUGACGGGGGCAAACACACACAUUUGAGCCUGAGGAGAACCGGAUGUCCAAGGCAAAUCGAUAGCAUGGAAAAUGCUCCCAGCGGACUGGCCACGCAGCACCAGACACGGAACACCAACGCACUACAUCUAUGAAAUGACUCACGUCGACGAGGAGCGUCGUGUUUUGAGAGGCCAGGGCGCGCGUGAGGCCCUGUGUUGGACAAGCGCAAGCACGUUGUUCAGCAUGCGUUCGCGUUGACUUCUUGUUCGGACUGAUCGUAAGCACUAUGGAGUGCCAAAGAUACUCACGCGCGAAUUCCUUGCCGGCCACCCCAUCCCCCUCAACCUGCCGACGUAUACAUGCCACACACGCACCACGGGUAUGACCAGGAAUGUGCCGUACAGCUUGUACCGCUGCGCCGCCACCGCCCGCAGCAGGUAGGCCAGGUAGCAGGCGGCGGCGCAGCUGAUGGCGGCGCCCUCCACGGCCAGGAACACCAGCUGCAGGGUGUUCACCUGAAAGAGCGAGGGGUAGCGGGAUCGAUCCAUGCCGGGGGCGGUGGUGAGCUGCCUGGUGGUUGUGACCAGGGAGCCCGCCGUUUGCCCAUCCAGCAUCCGAGCCUCUCCUAAUGGUGGUGCUGGUGGGGCUGGUGCUGCUGCUCUUGCUGCUGGGGACCACCGCUGGGGAACCCUCCCUGUCCCGCACCCACGCACCCGCUUGGCGCUGUCCACUGCGGCGUACAGCAGCGCAUCCAGGAUCUGCAGCAGCGAGGCCGCAGGCGAUUAGGAGGGCCCAGGCAUGACCAGUUGGAAGCAAGGCAGUGGUGGUGAAACAGCGCAGUUCGGGAGGUCAGGCCUAGGGACGGCGGUGCGGCGGGCAAGCAUGCGGCAGGGAAUACAGCGGGCGGACCCAUCGCGUACGUACCCGCCGUGAGGCUCGGAAGAAGUCGGGGCCUGGGCACGAACAGAAAGAGAAAAUGUUAGGCGGGCAAGCGAGUUCUGCACAUCGCGCGCAUACCGGUACCAUAAAGUAGGGGCGCGCAUACCGGUACCAUAAAGUAGUGGUACGCAUACCGGUACCAUAAAGUAAAUUUUCCGCUCACCUGACUUGAUGAGAAACUGGCCCGGGUCCUGAUCGACAAAGGAAACACCGUCUGCCAGCCAUUGGGCGCCGCUCUGCUGCACCAGCUGCGAACCAACACAUGAGCCGGCACACCGCAGUAUAGCAUCAGGUCAGGCGGCAGGGUGAGUAGGCACAAGGUAGCCGCUGCACCGAGCUCUGGGUGCAUUUCCAUGCGCGCAGCUGCAGCAUCCCAAUCUUACCUUGGUCAUUGAGUAGAUGCGCGUUCCAAAAUCCUGGGUCAGAAGGCGGCAGGGCGCACAUCGUCAUGGGCAUGGAGAGCAUUUGCAGAAGCAGUCGAGCCUCCGCACACAAGCACGUGCAAAACCCCCACCACACUCACCCAGAUCGUGACGUUUAUGAAGGCGUCGCUCCCGUUUUGCUCCCGUCCAUUCCAGACCUGCAUGCGCCCAUGCACACAUGAAGCAUACGUGGAAGGCCGGGGUGUCUGUAACCAAGUUGAGGUCCGACAUGCUGCCACACUCCGUUCCCACUAGUAGGGCGGUGGAUCCCUUGCACCUCUUGCGUACCGAGAUGUUUGUGAAGUAAAACAAGGUCAUGACACUGCUGUCGCGGGCGUGGUGGUUAUCCAAAAUGUCGUUCAGACGAUCCUGUGAUGAGGGUGGGGGUGCCGGCGAGCGUACGUACGUCUGAGCGGCGUGCCAAGUGGGCGUACAUGUUUUGCCCCGGCGGGUCGGGACACACAGCGAGCAGUGUUUGACGAGAUACAGCACAUUGUGUACAGUAUUAUACAAGCUAGUGAUGCUCGUCUAGAUUCGCGUGACCGAAACAGCGCUUAUCUGGCGGACCCCAACCUGUAUCAGCACGAUUCUCAAAUCCGCCCGCGUUUCCUGACUAUAAAUGCAUACAAAUGGCCACUGCAACCCCAGUAACAACUCCAUCGCGCCCUGGGCCGUCUGAAACCGACGUGACCAGCUGUCCUCACCUUCAUCUUUUCCGCGUUGACAGCAAUGCGAUCCAAAAACAUCUGCAAAAGUCACAGCGACAAGUGGUUAUAUUCCCUGCAUUGCUGCAUGCCAGGCCAAGGAAGUUCAGCUGUGUGGGUGCAACGCUGGGGCUGACAAACUCCGCUAAAACCGUUCCCCACCGACCGUGGAGUCGUCGGCGGUGUACAGAGUUGGCAGGGUCUUGUUCUUGGUGAUGACGUCCAUGGAGCGCACAUCUGCAAGGAUCUGGUGCAAGGAGAGCUGCACGCAAUGCAUGCAUGACAGACAUCCGCUUAGUCAUGCAACCGCAGUACUGAGGAAGCGGCGCCCACUGGGGAUGGCCCCAGCACAGUCGCAUGCAAACACACAUGCAAGCCAUCUAUCGCCCCAUCCGUCCAGAAAAUGAGCAGAUGCCAGCGCUCCCACCUGCAGUUCGACGCUGCGGCCCAGCUGCAGCAUGCUGGCGCGCUGCUGCCCAAUGGCGACCAGCGUCGUCGCAAAGCACACCACGUGCACGGCCGCCAGGAUGCCGACUGUAAUGAGCGCGUGCAGCUUGAAGCGCUUUUGCACCUGCAGUAAUACAACCAAAUUGAGCAAGGCACACGAGUGCAUGUGAGCAACAAGGCGUGUCUGCUAGCAAGUCAUCGGCCUCAUGUUCACCACACAACAGGACCCGUGAAGGCAGCCCGCCUACCGCCACCCCGCCCCGCACCUGCUGCGCCUGUCCCGAGUCCAUCAGUUUGACCAGCUUGCGGAACCUCUUGCCGCGCUUGUAUUCCGCGCCGCCACUGGAAGAUUGGGCCGACAUGGCGCUCUGCCCGCCCUCGCUUCCCGCGUCGUCAUCCGCGUACGGCAAGUCUGGCGGGCCAGAGGCCUUCAGGCCUGCCAGGGUGCGGGCAGUUGCCAUGGUUGCCAUCGUCGCCACGGUUCGCUCGGUCCUCUCCGAAGCAGCGUAGGCAAGUCCCGUCAUGUCGCUGUGGGGCGCGUGCAGGCCGCUGGCGGCGCCAUCGCUGGGCGCCUUGACAGAGCCCUCGUCAUCGCUCUGGUUGGGGGGUAGCGGUCCAUGGGUAACAGAGUCUUUCAAUCACAAGGGGGUGCGAGAAGAGCAGCAUAACGGAAACAUUUCAGCACAUGCCGCUUUCAGGACAUGCAGCGGCAGCUACACCGAGCAAUGUAUGGGCCCAGAGCCUCAGUGUGACACAGUAAGCAGCCGCACGCGACUCGAGGAUGAAAAUAUGUGAUAGAUUGUUUGAUCUCGUUGUGCUGUCUUGCGCUGUCUUACCUUUGCGUUGGCGCCGCCCUCCACCGCCACCGAGUUCUGGUAGAAGGCACCUUUGCUGGCCACCCAGCUCAGGAUGCGGUCUCCGCCCUUCACCUUGCCGCCGCCCUCGCUGUCCGCCUUGUCAUCAUCAUCUCCGUCAACGGACUGCGCUUCCAUGCCUGGAUAUAUUGUAGCAUGCCGUGCAUAGGGUUAAAAACAGUGAGGUGGGAGUUAGCUACCAUCCCGUGGCACAAUCCAAAGGCAUCUGAUCUGAAAGCAUCACACAUACGCACCGACGCACUCUCCCCAACCUACCCUUCUCGGCGUCCGGACCCUUGCCCUCACCCCUGGCAAGAGGCACGGCGUGUGGCAGGUCCGCAGCCGAGCCGCCAUCCCCCGUGCUUGAUCGCCUGGUCGCCCCCGGCCGGGUGCGGGGCACAGGCAGACCCGAGCCGUCGCCCGAGCCGAGCGCCGCCUUCUGGCUGCCCGCCUGGUCGCCGCCCACCGACUUAACGAGGUCUGCCAGCUUGUUGCGGCCGGUGGCAGCAGCCGUCACGGAGGGCACAGGCAGCCCGCCAUCCCCCACGCCGCCCAGCAGCAUGGCAGGCAUGGGCGGCGGUGCAAGCGGUGCCUCUGCUGCGCCACCCGCGGGAUCAACAGCCGCCUCCACGCCACUGCCGCGGGGCUUCUGCUGCGCUGUGGAGUCGUUGCGUCGGAGGCUGCCGCCAGUAGGUGGCGUGUGGACCUGGCCCACAGAGGAAGACUCCUUGCUGUUUCGCUUCUUCCCAAUCUCAUCCGGGCUUCCAGCUGCCUCCACCUUAUCCAUCAGGUCAUCGAGCGAGGGCUGCCGCUUAAUGCUCGCAGCGCCCCGAGGCUGAAUAGCCGCGACCGCGGCCGCCGGCUCCUGCAAGCCCGCCGCAGGCUGCAGUGGGCCGCCAAGCGAAGGCGGCGGGGGCGCCGCAGCGGCUGGGUAGGCUGCAGCGGCCGGCGCCAUGGGUGCGGUGUGCAGGCGCAGGAUGGCAAUGACCGGCUCGUUGGGCCCGGGCUUGCCCACCACUUGCACGUCCAGCACCAGGGGCUUGCCGUCAGUGUGGGUAGCACGCAGCUUGUGCACCGGGCCCACCUUGACCGCCACAUCCUUCUGCUUGGUCUUGAGGUUACUCUUCUUGGCGCCGUGCAGACUCAGCAGCUCAGCCGCCGAGGUGCGGCCCGGCGGCAUGGUGACCAGGCUGUCGAGCGCCUCGCCAAUCAGGGCGUCGUGGUGCAGCCCAAACAGCAGGCCCGCGGGCCGCGUGUGCUCCUCCAGCACCGACGUGAUGCGGCCCGUCGCGUCCAGCUGCAGCACACCGCUCACGGCGUGCACGGGCCACAGGUCCACAUACACGUGGUUGCCCUGGCCAGCAGCCGCCUCCUCGUCAGACGGCGGCUCCACGUGAACCUGUCAUAUGGGCCGAAAGUUUACAUUAGAAAUGCUGGAUUAUAGACCAGAAACCGUGUGGUGUGGUCCCAAGCACAAAGACAGCGCACGGUGCCUAAAGAACAAUGUUACAUGUUACAAGAAUCGGGUUUCAUGAGCAUAAUCCCACCCGCGCCACCCAAAUGCCCCCCGCCCACUCAAUCCACCUGCAUCACGGCUGGCUUUGCGCGGGCAUUCGUGGACUGCUGGCCGCCCAUGUUGCGAGGCAGCGGGUUCGACACGUCCACACGCCAACUGGCGCCAGGGCUGGCAAGAGCCCUGCACACGAACACGAGUACAGCGCAUGUCAGGACCCGGACAGCCAUUACAGUACCUGUCUUCGUAUGAAGUUAAUCUUGAACAUUCCUUACAGCGAUCCCAACUACUUGCCUGGUGAUAAGCCCGCCAAGCAUGCGUGGGCCGACGGGUGUGGUUGCACGUGCAUUCACGUCCAUUGCGUCGGUCGCCAGCGGCUCGGACACAACCUCCCACAAGCCGCGACCGACCAGCUGCACACGUACAAUCCGGGAUGAUGGGAACACGAGGUAAAUAAAAUGUCAUGUCGAGCCGGCGAGCCCCAACGAUGCCAUUGAACCUGACAACAAACGCUGCGCCCCAAGCGCUGUCCCCUUGUUCGCUUACCCGGCUGGGCUCCAGACUGAGCACCUGCAGGGCGAGGCCCUGGCUGGUGGCGGACACAAGGCCGUCAUCCGACACCGUCAGGCGCACGCGGCGCUCAGAAAGGGCGGUGUCCAGCGAGGACCUGUGGUUGCGGGAUAGGGCAGGCAGUGGGAGCACGUGAGGACAGACUGGGGCCUUAUCCAUGUGCUCCAUUAGCGAACGAUGGCAAACGCAGCCUGUGUCUAUCUGUCUAUCCCUGGACGCCCCUCACCUCUGUAGGCCGAUGACGUGGGUGGACUCGCCGUUCAGGUCGCCACUGGUGAUGGAGACUUGCAUGUACAGCGGGCGCCCGGUCAUGGUGCGGAGCUCCAGGGUGGGUUGCGGCGCGGCCUUGCGGCACGACCACAGGGAGCGUGUGGGCGGCGAGGAGGAGGUGAUGUCCUUGAGGAAGCGCACGUGCAUGUCCUUCCACGGCGCCGGCAGGAAAUCGUACAGCGUGAAGCCAGUCAGCAGGUCGGCGCCAAACACCAUCCCCGUGCCGCUGUUUUGGGUAGUGGGUGCUAACGCUGAAGCGCCACCCAUCUGCCCCGGAAGACUCCCAGUCACGCCGCCGAAGCGCGGUCCUGAGCUGGUGGCCCCACCAACGGCCACGGAGUCCUUGAGCGCGCUGGCCACCCCCGUCGAGGCGUGCAGGAUGACGCCCUUGCGGUUCACCACCAGCAGCUGGGCCGGGUCGUCGGACGACAGCUGCAGCCGCAGCUCGUGGACCGAGAUGUCGGCAGAGACUGUGGGACGUGGGAGGAAAGGGGCCGCAUGCAAGUGAGAAGCGCGCAGCACCUGUCCUGUUUACCUGGACCUUCUCCAAUCCGAAUUGUCCUGUCUCCAAUCCCCACUGGAGGCCGCUGCAGUGACUGCAGACAACUCACUGUUCUCGAUAACCGUGACGGUGCAGGGGACCGGUUGGCUGUCGUACUUAUGGGCCAACAAGCAGUAUAGGCCCUUGAUGGGCUUUGCGCCCUCUUCAUCACCGUUGACCUUAACCAGCUUGAGCAGCCUGUGUGCGUGCACCAUAUGAAUGGAGGUCGGUCUUUGCCAAAGCAAAGCGCUCAGUUGGGUUUGCAAGGCGAGGAGGCUAGCAUUAGGUACAGACGCUUUGGCAAUCGGAAGAACCCUGCCGAGUGCUCGGCAUCAGUCUCACCUCUUGACUGUGUCGCUGGCGCUCUCCGUCACAGUAUUCGCGAUGGCCACUUCCUCGUCACCACCCUUACGACCAUCACCGGCCGCCAUGGAGUCCGUGGCCUGCACCAUCAUGAGUGCGGUCAGGUUGGAACCGUUGACCUCGGUGGCCCUCCAGCCGAAGUUGGCCACGAACUGGGGGUCCACCGCCGCCACGAUGCCGUUGGGGGACACCCACAUCCUGGCCAUGUUGGGCACAGGCGGGGUCGGCUCCAGCAGCGCGAUGAAGGUGGAGUCCUCGCCAACGCCUGCGUAUGCAUACGAGCGAGCAACGAGUGAGCUGGGAGCACGAGACAACGCCAGCAACUCACAAAUCCAAUCCCGACUACUCGCAUGCAUACUGGAGCAACGCCUCAAGCAAGCGGUGCAACGGAAAUGCAAUCACAUAGCCGUAGCACACCUGAAGCCUUGCGCAGGGAGAGGUUGACUGAGAAUGCCACGCGGUCGAAGUGCAUGGCCACCACAACCAGAUCUGGGCCGUCAUGGCUUGUGGCCUCUGCGGUCCUGCCGCUGUCAGACUGGCCCCCGUUCACCAGGGCAGUGACGCUGGUGCUCGCGACCAUGCGCGCCAGCUCCUCCGCCACGCGUCGCGCGCAAUGUGGCGCCAGCAGCAUCGCCAGGGGCUUGGCCUCGAGCGUGCCUGCGUGCAUAUAGCGGGGCCAUUGGUGUGGAGGCAGGUCGGCAUCAGGUUGGACGGAUCAGGGGCUGUUGGCUUUGCACUAAGCCUACAACUGCCCUAGAAACUUCUUGCAAGCAAGGAGCUAUCCAACUGACCGCGCUUGUGUCCGAACAGGAUGUGGCUCUGCUUGUUGGCCAUCUGGAUCUCGCCAGUGGCGUUGAUGACCAGCACAGCCGCAGCCAUCUCGUCCAUCCGGCCCAGGGGGGUGCCUGAAAACCACAUGAAGGGAACACGGCACGCACACGUGGGAGGCACCACGUGCAAACACGGUGUGAGAUGAAGUACGGAUGGCGACCGGAACAGCAGGACUAAGCCGCCAGCCAAACACCCCGCCAAGCCGCCAAGGACAACCCCACCACUUGACAUCCGCACGGCUCACCGUCUGGCAGCAGUGGGCCACGCGCGUCUCCGUUCUUGACCUCCUCCAGGCGAUCGGCCUCUGCGAAGUACUCAGCUGCGCCCCACGGGUCGUUUUUUAUCCUCUCCAGAAACUUGCCGUACAGCCGGAUGAGCUUGGGGCUGGUUCCGUAGCUCUCCAGCACAACGCGAUACGCGGCCUGGGCCUGAGAGACCGAGCUCUCAAUCUUGCCCAGGGCCUUGCUGAGGUGCGUAAAGGACACGCGUGACGCGUCCAGCGCUUUCCUGCAAGGCGGGAGGGGCAGCACCAACGCGAGACACGGUCAGCGGUCAAGAACCUAACGUGUGCUGCAUACCCUCGUCAUGUAACAUGCACCACGAAAGACACCAGAAGCUACAGCGUAGCCCCAUUGCCGUACUCAACCUGCAUCCUGCCCCGCACCACUACGACUCACCAGAAGUUGCACAUGGCCUGCAGCGCCUCGCGGUGGAGCCGCACCACCAUGCGCUGCUUGCGCUGGUACUCCACAUAGCUGCGGGGUCAUUGUGGCAAAGGGGGUGAGUGUACCAGGUAAGCGAAUGUAGCCACAGAGCUGUAGCCACGGAUCAGAUACAGGGGCACGAAGCGAUACGCACGUACACACCACCCACUUACCCAAGCAGGUCCAUGCUUACGCCGUCGUUGGCGUGACUGCCCGCCGCCUUUUGCUGCGAACGCGUGAGGUAGGGGACGGAAUGCGAUUAAGCAGCGCCAUCGAGCUUUCACGUACGGUCCAGGCACAAUUACCGUAUGCAUGAGAGCUCGAAUCCUUGAAAGCAUCUGCCCGCUUACCGUGGCCUGCUGCUGUCGAACAAACAUCAUAAACCGAACAAGAAGGCUGGGGCUGAGCUUGCGCGCGUCCUCGAUGCGUCGCGCGCCGCUCUGGCUGACCCCCAGCACAUCGAUCAUGAAGUUGGCAUGCAGCAGCACCAUGUAGGCGCUGCCGGGGAACAUGGCUAGGCCGGCCUGGGGGAAAGAAGGGAACGACAGACGGGCUUAGGGCAGGACGGGCGAUGGGAGGGGCGUGCGCAAUGCAAUGCGCAUCCUGAGUGACGCAGAGCAGGGCGUUAAAGGCACACGCACAUACACACCAGGCACAGCUUAAUUAGCCUCUCCUCACCUUAAUGAUGUUGUGCGCCUUCUGCACUGCUUCGGGUGCCAGUGUGUAGCGGUCGCGCCACACACGCGCACAGCGAGCCACGAUCUCCACGUCCCGGGGGUCAUCCAGGUUGUCACAAAUAUCUUGCAGCGGCUGGUCGGGCUUGGCGUUCCUGUGGAGGGUUUGCGGAAAGAAGGCGUGGUGACAGCAUGACUGGCUCUCAAAACCCGAAUGUCUUCCCACUGUGCCACAGCCCGACACAGCAAUACGUUGCUUCCCCCAGCCUACAAACUCACGCCAUGGCCUGCAGCGCGGUAGUGGUCAUCUUGCGGAUGAAGAACCAGGACAUGGCCGCCCCCACACCAAACGCCGGCGCCAGGCCCGCCAGCAUGGUGAUGGUCAUGGCACUGGACCAGCCGCUCAGCUCCGACUGCUUGACGCCCGGAGCAAACACCAGUAGCAUCAACGUGAUGCAGCACCACACAAUUGAGGUCGACACGCCCGACUUGAGGUAGUUCACCCAUGCCACCAGGUUGGGGUUCUGCGGAGAUUAAGCACACACGUAUGACACGCGGCACACAAAAGGCGACACUAAAAGGUGAGGGCGCGUGCAGACAGCAGGGUGGCUAGUUGCAUCGCUAGCAGGGCUUGGGGUUUCUGCCUAUCUGUUCCUAUCGACUUACCCAUCGCAGGUACUGCCACACCAGCGCCAGCGACAGAGCCAGGUAGGCGCACGCCGCCACCUUGCGCCAGCCCAGGAACACGUCCACCAGGGUCAGCAGCGCCUUGACCGCGAACGCCAUCACCUCCGCGCCGCUGUGGCCCAGGGCCAUGGGCCGACGGCCCAGAGGGUUCACCUCAACCUGUGCGGUGCGGGCACACACGGGCGACACAUCAAGAUCACGGCGGUGACAUUGCCCCAGCCAACAUCCCAGCCUGCCAUAUGCUCCGUUGCACCGCCGCCUGAACGUAUUCAUAUGCCACUGUCCAGCAAUAACGCACCUCUGCCAUAUUAAGGAGCAAGGCGAUGGCCACGAAUAGAAGCAGGAAUAUGCCAGAGACCACAGCGUGGAUCAGGUGAGGCGAAGACGCGCAGCCUGCGUGUAGACACGUCCACAACCACAUUCGUCGACAUCAUGGAAUCCAUGCGAAACAUUGGGCACAGUGACUGAACUGCAAAUAAAAGCGGCUCGCGAUGUGGGCAAGGCCUGCUGUAUACUCACUGUACACGGGAAACAGGUCCAUGUACAUGUGCGGCGCGACUGGGCCAGUGAAGCGACAGCUGAUGCCGAGCUGUGAGGGACAAGUGAGGUGGGGAACCGAGUGCGAGGGAAAGUAAGAGCCGAGGGACUGGGGUCACGUGCGGGGCAUGCUCGAAGGUGGUCCCUCACCUGCAGCAGGUUCAGGGAUGCCACAUCGAAGGCCUGGAAGAAGACGGAGCUGAACACGCGGAGCACCUGCAUUGCGUGAAUGGGCAACGUGUGUGUGUGCGCGCGCGUGUGUGUGUAUGUGUGUGUGUGUGUGUUUGUGUAUGUGUGUGUGUGUGUGUGUGUGUGUGUGUGUGUGUGUGUGUGUGUGUGUGUGUGUGUGUUUAAAGAGCACAAGGAAAACGUUACGUGUGUGUAUGUGUAUCCAUCAGAUAUGUGUCACUAUGACACCAUCGAUCCCACCAACACGUGCGCCCACCAUUUCUCAGCCGCCCCCCAGCCCUACCUUGAUCGGCCACACUACCGGGAACUUCUGCUCCUUGAAGCACCAGGCCACCCACACGCACAGCCCGAUGUUCAUCACCAGCAGCGCCACCGCGGCAUAUAGCAGGGCCAGGUAGGCGCUGUAGCUCUGGAAGGGGGGUGAGGGCAGGCAUGCACGGCGUGUCAAACGUAGGCUGGCAUCGGCUUUCUUGCUGGGCUGAAAUAAGCUGGGCGGCGCCGGGCCAGUAUGCCGUAUCCAUGCCAGUGCAAGCACCCACCAGGUCGCCGAGCCAGGUGAAGUUGAGCACACCAACCACCGACCAGGCCCUGUGGUAGGUGGGCAAAGACGGCAAUGCAUGUCUGAGUGGCUGGUGCAGGCUCCGUGAUCGCUGAAGUCACAUGCAUUCGCUGUAAUAGAACAAAUUGCACUUGGCCGGAACGGAGCGUUUAUGAGUGAGGUACCGUACCGUGUGCGCCAUGGUCCCACGGCCCCUCUACAUCGCACCAUCGCCACUCACGCGCCGUUUGGGUCGAUGUCCCAGCCCUGCUUGGCGGGCUGGAUGACGGUGGCGAACAGCUGCCAGCCAUCCAGCAGAAUCUUCAGAAGCACCCAGCGGAUGCGGAUGCGCGUCUCGCUGUUCUCCUUGCUGCGUACGGGUGUGGAAGGCAACGGGAGCUAACAUGAUCACCGCAGCGGAGGGCGCCUUAGCAGCGGCUGUUUGGACUGCAAAAACUUUCUGGGGACCUGAUGAACGCAGUGGGUAGGUGACUGUAGGUGACUGUACACUCUUGGUAAGACGUCUACUAAAAGCCACUUUGCAUGCCACACGGAGUGAGGGCCCCGUACACACGCACGCCCGUCCACGCAAAGGACUGACCUCAGGGUGAACAACACUCCAAACACGCCAUUCUGCGCAGGUGAGUGUGUCGUACAGUGUUGCAGGUUACGUGUCAUAAACAGCACAUGUUGGGCAAGAGUUAUGUCGGGCCCGAGGGGUCAGGCCCGACAUCGCCCGUCGCCGUGCGUGUCGCCGUGUUUGUUCCCCCACCCAGCAGUCUUGCAAAGGCGGACCCACUCGGGCGCACAGCAGCCAACACCAUUCAGGUAACUUGCCUCAAGUGUUGAGCGUCUGUCAAGCAUAUCAUGUCCAUGCCCAUCCUGCUGCUGGUUAGCGUGCCUGUGACGGGAGGUCAGGUGGGGAAGGGUUCUAAUUUGCAGGCUGCCGCAAGGGCUGCCGGUCGUUUCUGGCCCGCCCCGCCUACCGUCACGCGCACUGCCUCGCCCCUCCAACUUCGCUGUAUUCCACGAUUCUCCACGCUUCCUCGGCACCGUGCCGAAGCAGCGAGCCGGGCCAGCGUGCCGAGGCAGCGCAUGCAUGCUGCGGCCUUCAGUCUGACCGACGGUUUGACUUCGCAACGGUUUUCUAGAGAACGUAAAGCCGAUACCCAGGACUUUGUGAAUGCUCAAAUAACAAGCAGGAACAAGACCUGUAACGGUCGGCGAAAGCGAUGUGACAUCGAAACUGCAACGGCGCGGCGGCACUCACCGGACACGCUGCGACGCUGACGACGCCGAUGAUGCGCUGGAACCUGCAUAGCUUGAACCGCGACCCGCCACGCUCGACAUUCUGACAGAGAAUGGCUUUUGGCCGACGUCGGUGGUUCCGCGGGCCUUGUCCUCCAACAACGGGGCACCCUAUCGCCAGGCUGGCUUCGCAAAUUUUUGCAUUCCUAGUAACAUUCCAGCAGAAGCGUAGCGCGUUACACAGGCAGAACGACUAGACUGACUCUGGACAAAUGCGGUGGUCGAGUGGGGGGCGGCCGUAUGCCAGCUAAACUCCAGCGCUGUAGCACGCGUUAUGUAAGGUUUGUGCUGCGGUUUGAUCGCCAGGUUGAGCACAAGACUGCAACCGAAUGCGCCAACACGAUGAUGACACAACGAUCAUUGACAAGAACGGCGAACUGCGGAUUCAAUCCUUUAACUAGAUGAAACACAGUAACAUGGUUAACUAGCUUUGAUGAUGCGGGGAGCUUGUUACGAUAUGUAUGGGUUCGCAGAAGCAAAAAAGGUGUGAAAGGUAACAAUGGAGGCUCCUACACUGCCUUUGCUUGUGAACUCCGUUCGCACCCAAAUCAAAUGGUAGCCGUUGUAAUAUGCAGGCUGCCGAUCAAAGUGACAUACUCGCGGUGCAACCGGGGCCGGGCGCCUGCCUCAGGAUCCUUUUCACAACCCGCUCUCCAGCCACACCCGAGUGGGUUCCAAUAUAAAAGAGUAGACACAAGGAGCCAGCCAUGUAGUACUAGGCUUUCUUUCUCGUAGACGGGCUCGUUUCGCACCAGCAGUGCACGAGGACGCACAAGGGUCCACAUGAAAAACCGUGACACGCCACUCUAGCAUGCACGGAAAAUUGGCGCCCCAAGCCCUCAAUUUUACUCCCAUGUUCGUCUUGCCUGACAAAACUGCACGAUGAGCGUGAGCACUUACACGGGUUCGAGUCCAGGUGGCCCCUCCAGUUAGCUCCCUUGAGUCCGGGCGCGAAACCGGCAACAUGACGGUCACGGUCGCCGCUAGUCGAUGCAGUUCAAAGCCUUGAGAGACCUCGGAUGCAUGGUUGCAUGUCCAGCCAGGCCCAGGCAGUUCCGCGUCGUUCCGCCUUGUGACGCACGCUCCCCCGGCUGCUCGUUUGCCCACGCGUCUACAAGUCUACAACCCUCGCUCGCACAGCCUCAGAUCUACAAACGGCGCUUCGCUCCCACCCCUCAAUCCUUGCCCCCCUGCCGCCCACCUCUACUGCCCCUUCUGCGUGCUCUUCCACAGCUCCGCCACCAGCGGCCCCAGCGUGGGGUGGUCCAUCCACUUAGUCAUCGCCGCUGGGCUGGGGCUGGUGCUGAUCUCCUUGAGCAUCACCCAGAACUGCAUCGGGGGGCGGGGGGGGGGGGUAAGCAAUGCGGGAUGAAUGGGUUCUGUGAGCUGCACUAGCUGUUGGCAGGACAGUUGAAAGGCAGAGCAAAGGGAGGGACCGACGCCUUCACAAAACCCUAGCCUGAGCACCUGCCUUAGCUAUUCCUGGAUCGCGCCUGCUCCCAAGGCCCCAAGCCGUUUGCUCGCCCCGAAAACUCCCACGCCACGCCUGCCCGCCCCCAGCCCCCCGCCUCCCCACCUCCUCUGCCCGCCUUUUCCCCCCUACACACCUGCGGGUCGUUCUGCGCCUUGAGGAUGACCUGGGGGUCCGUGGUCUUGACCAGGUAGCUCAGGUCCAGACGCCCCAACACACUCGCGCCCCACAUCUCCCGAAAGUACUGCGGCGGGGCCACGGGCGGGGAGGGGGCGGAAGGGGUUUGUCAAAACCAAACCCAAAGUCAAUCGACAGGGGUAGCCCUCCAUGUAACAGCUUGAAGUGGGCCAGUCGUGUGCGGGCAGGCACACGGCAUCGCCUGUGCAUGCAAAUGCAAGACGCCGUCGAGUGCUCAUGAAUGCGACAUGAUAUGAAGGCACAGUCCCACCAACAUAGGUGCACCGCGGCCAUGCCAUGAGGACCAUCUCCAGCCGAGAGAGAAACCGCCAUACCCGUGGCUGGCUACCGAACUUCGCAACAAUGCGUCAACCUCCGCACGAAGCGUGUCUAGGGCACUACGCCAUGAGUCGAAACCAAGCCUCAGCCCGCCACAGCCCCAGCCUGCCACAGACCGCCGGGGCCAACAGCCAGCGGCACUAACGUAGAACCAGGCAACUCCCGUGCAUGCCUCGCGUUUGCGCGCAUGCAUGCGAGUACCUACGUUCCGAGGGUGGGGAAGCCUCGUACGGUAACCACGGCCCACCUGCGCCUGCCUCGCACUUUCCACCACAAUGACCACCACAGGCACAACUCCGCACCUACCUUGAGAAACUCCUGGUGGGCCACGGGGUCACCACUGACGCGCUCCUCCUGCUCCACCCACCUGUUGUGGUGGUAAUGGAUCGGGCAUUGUGAGCGGGUUGCCAUCACGGACCGGAGCAACCUUGAGCCGCUAUGGCCAGCACGCAUCACGCAGUAUGCGCGUAAGCAACAAAGCCAGGCCGUAACCCACAUUGCCUGUCUGCGUGCUGCCCUGCUGGCUGCACCCUUCUGGCCUCAGACACAGCCGGCCUGCCGUGCGCCCGAGUCCCGACGGCGGCUGGAGCAGCUGCCCGCUGGCGCACGUCAUGGACAGCCCUCUACCCCUCUCUCAACACACAACGCACUGUGUACGUGCCAGCCGGCGUGAACCCAAGUGGGGCAACUCACUUGCGGUACUCGGCGACACUCUGCUUGAGCCUGGGGCCAGGCGGAGUGUUGAGGCAAGCGCACAUGGCCUUUUUGGCGAUGCAAGCAUAUGCAUCAAACGAAAGCAUGCAAUCGCCAUGGCAGUACGAACACGAACGGCAACUGGCCUACGUGACUAAAGCACAGCCAGGCGCAAACUCAAUGGAGUCACGCCAAUAUCAUGACCAUUGCAACGCCGCGCACUGACCCCGCAAACAUCUGAUUCAACGUGAAGCCACCUGCGUCGACAGUUACGUAAUGGCAGAGAGUAAUGGUUUAGAUGCUUAGAUGGUCGUACUGCGUCGGCUUCCAGCCACAUGACCCCAUCCCUAUUCGGCACGCAGCCUGUGCCUUUCCAAGGGCGUGUCCUCUGAAGCGGCCCUGUGCCAAACCGCCCCCCUGUUUCCCAUGACCCAGAGCCCUGCGUUAUUUUGCCCCUCGCUCAGCCGCGUCGCCGCACACGCACCCUCCAGCAUCUGUGCGUUGGUGGUGCGCAGGUACUCCUUGGCCGCUGGGUCCUGACUUAGCUCCAGGCGCUUGAUGAAGAUCUCAUAGCGGUCCGACAUCUCCUGCAUCUGCAGCCGAGAACGCGCGCGCACGGGCAAAGUUAGCAUCUGGUCAUGGGCGGCAGCUGCAGCUGCGAAGCAGUGCGCACGGACAGGCGUGAACCCGGCACAAACGUCUGUAAUCAUGUCGCAGUAAAACACGUUGGCGUCGAUACGCGCCCCUUCGCCGCAGCCACCCUCCGCCCCAGCCGCACACCACCCCAGCCGCAUUCCACCCCAGCCGCCCUCCACCCCACAGCCGCCCUCCUCCGCCUCAGCCGCCCUCCACGCACUCCAGCCGCACCUUAUCCAAGUACAUCUGCUUGCCCUGCAGGUCAAAGUCCGGGAAGCGCCCAGCCAUGCCCGACAGCUGCGUGGCCUCCUGCACAAUUCUGCGCAGUUGCGAGGAAACAGGCGUGGGUGGGUUGCGCGCAGUGGCGCCAGCGACGCGCAAACACUGCUGCUGCUGACUGCCGCCCCGUUGCAGCCAUAGGCGGCCAGGACCCCAAGAACGCAUUGCCUUGUCAGCCCCUUUACAAAAACGACGUCAACGCCGCGGCCGCUAGCAGUACACUUUGCAGCGGUGCGACCGCACUGUGCGGCCACCAUAUGCCUCGGGCCCCGGAGCCUAGACGGCCGGCAGCGGGUGUGCCAGCACGUCGCUGUCACCACCGGCCCCACCCCGCUGUCCAGAAGCCCAGCUCACUUGUUAAACUCGUUCAUGACCAGGUCGCUCCGAAACACGGGGCUGUUAAAGAGCCGCUCAUACAUCUCCUCGUGUGAAGAGGAGCGGGCGCAAACGGAGGGAGGCUUGUGGAAGUCCCAGCGACCUCGUGCCACCGACCGGCGAUGGCCCUGGCUUACAUGAGCCGUAUAUGAGCAUGAGCAAGCGCCAUUGCAUUUGGCCGAGGUGUGAAGCCUUGUGGCGCGGGCUGCACGUAGCGCCAUGAUAGAGCUCAGGGCAAUGCCCGCACUGGCAAUUAAAUUGGUUUGACCGUUUUGACGUCUAAUUGUGGUUCAUAGAGGGUAGAUUGGGCACACCGCCCUCCUGCCGAUUCGCGGCGUGCGCUUGCUUUUGCCUUGGGGCAAGGUUGCGGCUUACGUGGACGGGCCUAUCGCACACUGCCAAAAUUUGCCACGUCAGAGCUCCAGCUAAUGUGUAGGCUGAUGAAAUUUCCAUUCCAAAUCGGAUUCCAUAUCGGGUACACGAAAUCCUUGGCAUGGCCGACAACGCGCGACGUCAGGUGCCAUGCAGCCCGGGGGCAGGGCCCGAGGAAACAAAGCGCCGGACCCCAUGCCCCGAAAUCUCCCGGGGCCAACCUUGAGGGGACGACCGACCGCUCCGCCGCCAACAGUCCGCACGUGCUCAUCUAGAACCGUGCCUAACCCACGAAGUGUCCCCUCCCGCAGGCUCCCGCCCAUCUGCACGGCCUGCCCUCCUGUCUUCCAUUCACAUGGGGCUUUGGCGGGCUUCGGCUUGGCUUCGACUCAUGCGCGUAACACUAUGAAGGUCGGCAGCCAACCAGAGGGCGGAUGUUGUUUCUCUGGGUCGCAGACGGCCCUUCGCGGCGUGGGUACGGCGUGCCCCCGCUUGUCGGGCUGUCCCUUCACUUGUAAUCCGCAUUCAUAUACAACCGAACGUGCACAGCCACCCAUUGACGUUCCGUUUAGGGGCUAAAAUCCCGCCAUUUGAUGCCAAAGUGGUGCCAAUCAAUGACUCUUGAGGAGCGCUACGACGUUGUGCCAUCGGCGAUCCUGUUCUGGGACUUCGG